AUACAUUGAAUUUACUGAAAACAUGUCACUGUUUUCCGAUUUUCAUACUCGCGUAUCCCUAAUGUCAUUAGUUGUCUCAAAAGCAGAUCUGAGCUCUUGCACAACGAAACAGAUGCGUAGUGCACGGAAUUCUUGCAGGUUUACAAAAGAGCGAUAUGUCAUGAGGCUUGAAACGAGGACAUUCCAUUGAUUACAGCAGCGAGAUAUUACAGCACAUGGACUAGAAACUAGAACGAUGCAGUACAACCACCACAGAAAACAGCACCGAUAAAGACAACACAGACUAACUAGACCAAGAACACAACACGACCGCCACCGCCACCACGUAAUUCGCCACCGGGAGAGGGGCGACCUAACCGCCGAAACCGUAGAGGGUGCGGCCCUGGCGCUUGAGAGCGUAGACAACGUCCAUGGCGGUCACAGUCUUGCGGCGGGCGUGCUCGGUGUAGGUGACGGCGUCGCGGAUGACGUUCUCGAGGAAGAUCUUGAGCACGCCGCGGGUCUCCUCGUAGAUGAGCCCGGAGAUGCGCUUGACGCCGCCCCUCCUCGCCAACCUGCGGAUCGCCGGCUUGGUGAUGCCCUGGAUGUUGUCACGCAGCACCUUGCGGUGGCGCUUGGCGCCGCCCUUGCCCAGACCCUUCCCGCCCUUGCCGCGGCCAGACAUCGCCGAGAGUUUCGCCGCUGUGACUUUGAAUUUGGUUGAGGAGAACUCGAGGAAGAGGAUUUGUGCGAUGGUUAAGAUUCGGGGUUGGAGGAGUAUUUAUCGGUGGGGUUUGGGAGGGAACGCGGAAGUUUUGAGCAGUGCCGAGCGGGAGGUGAUUUCGGCCUCGAUCCGUGGGACUGUGAGCCUGGAGCGUUGGAUUGGGAUCAGAAGGGAGGGAUAUGGCGGCGGCUCUUGGCACGGAUCGGUGACGUGGCGGAGAGCGCGGGGAAAAUGUUGGGAGCUGGGAGCUAUAGGAUCGCUGAACAGACACGAGGGUUUUGUUCUGUUUCUAAGACUCUCUAGAGCGCGGCCUCCUUCCCCUCCCCUCCCCUAACAUUGUUUAGUGUUUAGGGGCUACAGUAUCACCUUAACACCCACAGCGGCGAGCCCUACGGGCAACUCUCCGAUGCGCUCCCUUUCUCUCUCACGCCAAAUGAAGCGGACGACUGUUCACUCCUCCACGGGUUCUUGUCACGGAAGCCGGCGCCCACGCCAGACCGAGGAAAGUUUCCGGUCGACUUCGCUUCCUCUCGACGCCUCUCUAGAACUCGGGCGACAUCGGACGACAGGGCGACGGAUCUGCCGGCACAAGGCCGAUUCGGAGCCGGUGGAGGUUGGCGGCGAGGAGGACGACGACGAGCACGUCCAGUUCGUGAGCAGUGAACCCCGCUCGCGCCAGAAGCCGAAGCGCCCAGAAAUCGCAGUCCGUCGAGGCGAUUCGUCUGCUCAUCUGUUGCCUUCCUCUCGGAGCAUCGACGCCUUCCUCAGAUCCAGACUUCAUCGGUUCGAUUCGUAUUGUUAGGGGUGGGCAUUUUAAAACCGAAAACCGAACCCGAACCCGAACCGAACCCGAAUAGACCGAAUUGUGAGUCUAUUCGGGUUUUCGGGUUCGGGUUCGGUUCCUAUAUGUGCUAUAUUUCGGGUUAUGGGUUCGGGUUCGGUUCCUAACCUUUAAAACCCGAAUAGACCUAAUAACCCGAAAUAUAAAAAAACUCUUAAUAUGUGAUGGUAUUAUUAUAUGAUUUAUGAACUUAUUAGCUAGAAAUAAUGAUAUCAUCUUAACAAUAGUAUAUAUAUCUUUGUAUGCUAAUUUUUAUAGUCACUUGUUGUAGUAAUAGUACUUUCAAUUAAUUAUUCAUUGUAUAUAUUUUAACAAAAUAUACUAGUCUCUCUACAAUUCGGGUCUAUUCGGUGGACCGAAUAGACCGAACCGAAAUUGUGAGUCUAUUCGGGUUCGGUUCCUAAAAUAUUUUUGGAAAUUUCGGUUCUCAUUUUUCAGAACCCGAAAUUUCACAAACCCGAAUAGACCGAACCGAAUUACCCUAAUAGACCGAAUGCCCAGCCCUACGUAUUGUUGCGGCCUGGAUCUUCAGAUCUUCAGGUGCGACCGUGUUCUUGUUUCUCCUCCCGGUUUCUUGAUUGUUCCAUUAUAUUUCAACUUGUACGUUUCAGUUCUGUACUUUACCGAAGUCAUGUGAAUGACCGGAUUCGAUUAGUACGUGCAGCACAAGUGAUCAUGGAUUUGCUCUAUCGGUUAGGGUUUCCUUAACACAGUUCAUCAACUUUUGACAUAAGUGUACAUGAAUCUGCUCCCUUGUUUCAUUAAGGGUACUUAGCGUCGAUUUAGAUGAAGCGUCGGGGGGGUUCGUCUGACACCCGCCAUAAUAGCAACCAUAGAUUUGGGGGCACAAUUUGUUUGCUCAGUUCAUGUCUGUCGGCAUAAUUAAAUGGUUACUUCUGUGAUUACAUAGUGAAAUUUGAAGCUGGUGCAAUGUCAUUUUCGGUUUGACAUAUGCAACCUUUUAUGACUCCACUUAUUUGUUUGCCACAUGUUCUGUUUGAAGCAGGAGUUUAUAAUGUUUUUUGGAACACGAUCCUGUUUAUUUAUUGACGAUUAUAUGAUCCAAUGGAACCCAAUUACUGUCAGUUGAAUAUAUGUCUGCUGUUUGAACAACCUAACAAUACUUCACACAUAAACCAUGCCUAAUUCCUGGUCAUUCUAUAGUUAUUAUAAUCAAUUUUGUACUACAUGACACAAAAAUGAAAACUACAAAAAAAAUUGCCUCUUGUUAUGUACAAAUCAUGACUUGUUCAUUUAAUUUGCAACUUGAUUGUCUGCCUCAUCAUGUGAUUGAAGUAGUAGUUGUUACAAUUUUUUGCAACACUAACUUGUUUCCACAUUAGUAGACACGGUUAAUGGUUCAAUUCAUGUGUGAUGUUUGAAGAACCUAAAUUUUCGUUUCUACUAAAAAACAAGUCCAUGCUUCAUCCUGGGUUAACCCCAAUACUUCAAACCUUAACCCUGCCUACUUCAUGGUCAUUCUAUAGUUCAUAAAUUGUAAUCUACAGUACAUAUGACAUCUUGAAGACUUCAUAAAUUCCUUACUCAGGUUUCUGAUCCUUUGUUACCAAUUUUUGGUACAAUAUAUGUUUGUUCUUUCAUAUAGUUCGUCAGUACAUCAUGAGAAGUACAAGUUCUCUUCCUAUUAUUCACCAAUACAAGCAUGUUAACAUUCAUCAUCAGUAUGUGAGAUAUAUCAUGCUUCCAUUAUGUUAUUUAUGUUCCUCCCCUCAAUAUAAGUCAUGCUUUCAUUAUCAUUACAUGUCCCUGCCUACAUUUUUUGUUCUUGUAUUUUGGCACUUAUUCAUUCGAUGAAGCCUAUAUGCUUUGUAAGGUUAUGCACUUGUUACUUCAUAUAUUAAUUGUUUACAGCACAUUUCAUCAUGGCAUCCUCGACAGAAGAAAACGUGAAGGCUUUGCUCAAAGUCCUUGUAGACUGUGCCGAGGAUGCCACCAAAUCACUGGGUGGUUUAGUAGAUCACGCUUUAGACCACAUGCAUGAUGAAGAGAUCGUAGCUAAAACCUUGUUUGCCAUGAAAGAAAAACUAGAAUUGCUACAGCAAGAUGCCUUAGAGGCAAAAGUGCAAGCAUUUCCAGAAAUUGCUAAGUACGAUGGGGAUGACAUAAGUGUUGAACCUACAACUCCGUCGACCCCUCCAACUGUUACUGAUCCAUCUGUUGAUGAAGAGGAGUUCUACUGCCCCGAUGUCAGUGAUGAGUGGUACUUCAGCGAUUCUGAUAGGUCUACAUGUAACAGCUACGGGAAUAUUUAUUAGCCAUGUAUUCCAGUUCAAGUUAGAUUACAUCCUUUUGAAAUUCUAAGUAGUCGUGUACAGGCAGCAACUGUUAGGUUGUGUGCUUGCAAACGACAAUAUCAGUUGUCAUCUAUGUCUAAGUCUAAGUGGUACCUACUGACCAUAAGCUACAAUGAUGUGAGGAAUUCUGUAGUAUGUCUACUAUGAUGACUCAGAUGUGUUCAUGUGGUGUUGUUCCUAGUGAAACAGUUCAUGACAACCUUUUAUUAUUAUUGUGCUGAUAUAAAUGCUUCGUCUGUUCUUAUGUUUACCUUGUUAUGUCGAUUGCAUUCAUUUUACACCAUUUAACUAAAUUUCUGCCAUGUGCACAACUAAUAGAAUGGACCCAGCAAACAAUGUGACAUCUUCGCAGUCGAUGUCAAAUAACUCAACUGGCCAGCAAUUUCCCCCUCCACCCCCGUUAUGGCCUACGCCCUUCAUGCACCAGACACCUAUGGAUUGCAACAUGAUGGGAAACCUAAAUUUUCCAAAUCAUGGUCAAGGUCCAACAACAAUGUGGGCUCCCAUGUAGACAGGAAAUACUAGUUCCCAAUCUACCAUGAUUCCGGUCUCACAAUCUGUAGUCUAUUGGAAUCAUUACAUGAACUUUGUCAGGAAUCCUCUUGGUUUAGUUGAAGCAAAUCCUUUUCUAGAAUCCUAUCCUCCUUCAAAUACUAGUACACCAUUGCAGGGUUCCAAUACUAUACCUUCAUUACCUGUAAACUUGGACUCAGAUGCUGAACAUAGUGUUCAGGACAUAAAUAGUUCAGAAAAGAAUGCAGCUCCUGUUCAGAAACAAAAGAAAACCAAGGAACAAAACUUUACUGGUCCUGAAGACCUCCUUUGCACUACAUGGUUGCAAAUUAGCAGUGAUCCUAUUGUGCACACUGGACAAAGGAGGGAGGGGCUUUGGGCUCAAAUUGAAAAAAGGUACAACGAAAAAAGGGGGGAGUUCCCUUGUAUACUAAACAGAGCACUUAGCAGCAGAUGGGACAAGAUUAGAGCAGACGUGAGUAAGUUCUCAGGCUACUACGCAAGAGUUCCAAGAGAGAAACAAAGUGGCUUAACUGACGACGACAAGGUUAGCCAUAUCGUACACAAUUUAUUUCAUGUUGUACUUACAUUCAUUUGUAAACAUGUGGUCCGAAUAUUCUAAUUCAACAACAAUUUUUGCAGACUUCCAAGGUGGCUACAUCGUUUGCACACGAGGAGAACAAAACCAUUCCAUUAUAUGCAUUGCUGGCAUCAACUGAAGGGGGAAACGAAAUGGGAGAGCAUCUGUCAAGGACAUUCGUUCCGAGGAUUAAAUGCUAAAUCAAUUGGAUCUUUUGGUACUCCAUCAGUUGAUGCACAUGAAUCUUAUACUGGAUCUGCUGGUUUGACAGGAAAACGGCCCCGUGGUCGUGAUUAUAGUAAAUCAGAGAGAAAGAAAGGUGCAUCUUUCUCAUCUCCAGAAUACUUAAGCCGUUUGCAAGAAAUAACUGAAAAACAAAUUCAGCGGUUCAUAGAAAAGUCUGAAAAGAAAGAAAAGUGCACAGAAGAAGACAGGGAAAUAGAGAAAAAGAGGUUGGAAUUGGAAGCACAAAAGUUAAGCAUUCGACAAAGGGAAUUGAAACUUGAAGAACUCGAAUCGGCCAAUAAACGAAACGCUUGCAGCAGUUCAUAUUUAGUUUUGAUUAAACGUUGUGUUGUGUGACAUGCCGUCCACCUGGUGCACGAAACAGUUUAAGAAUUUUUUAUCUAAGUUGAUUAUGUUAUUUGUUUUUCUGAACAAUUUAAUUUGUUGGAACCAUAGGUCGACAAGUACAUGAGGGUUGUUAGUUAUGUUGUAUCCUGUUGUAUUACAAAAUAAUUAAGUCGGCUGUCGAAACAUCUUUCAUUAUUCUUUCAUGCAUUUGUAUGUUAUGGUUUACUUGGUACAAAAUAUGAUGUAUGUACUGAAUUGUUCAAUUAUGGUUUACUUGGUACGAAAUAUGAUGUAUGUACAAAAUAAUUAAGUGGGUUGUCCAAACAUCUUUCAUAGAAUUGAGGUAAUUUAUUUGAAUACCCGUAACUAGGACAUUACAGUGCACAUUACAAUGACUGAAUUGAAGUUCGAACUAAGUAGCUAUGGAACGACAUGUUUACAUGCUUCCACGUCGAGCCCACAAAUGCUCGACGAGAACAUUUUGUAGUGAGCUCGAUCUUCCUUGGCGACGAAGAUCGAAGUGGUUAAUCACCCAUUCGGUCCGUCCUUCUGCAAUUAUUUGAGAUGGUUGAAUGCCUGAAGUGUUAUCUCCGAAAUCUAUAUUACCAGCUAACGGUCCUUCGUCUUCGACAAUCAUGUUGUGCAUGAUGAUGCAUGCUGUGAUUAUCUCAGUUAAACAAUUACGAUCCCAACCAUACGCUGGACCAUGCAGCACCGCCCACCGGGCUUGAAGAACUCCAAAAGCACGCUCAAUAUCCUUUCGGCAACUUUCCUGAAUCUGUGUAAAAUACACUUUCUUUUCCUCAUAUGGGUGUCUGAUUGCUUUGACAAAAGUUGGCCAGUUGGGGUAAAUAUCAUCAACUAGGUAAUAUCCGAAGUUGUAAGCAUGACCAUUUAUUGUGUAAUUGACUGGUGGCAUUCGACCGAUUGUCAUGGGGUCAAAUACUGGUGAUCGGUGCAGCACGUUUACGUCAUUGUUUGUCCCUGGCAUACCAAAAAAAGCAUGCCAAAUCCAAAGAUCAUAUGUUGCUACAACUUCGAGUAUCAUCGAAACUCUACCAUUUCUGCCACAAAACUGACCACGCCAUGUCGUAGGACAGUUCCUCCACUCCCAAUGCAUGCAAUCUAUGGAUCCCAACGUUCCAGGAAAACCCCUAGCCUCGCUAUUGUGCAUGAUGCGUGUUAUGUCAGCUUCAUUAGGAGUUCUUAGAUACCAGCCACUAAAAUAUGCAAUGAUUGCGCGACAAAAAUGAUGAAGGCAUUCCCUAGCGGUAGACUCCCCAAUUUGAAUGUACUCGUCUACCGCAUUAGAAGGUAACCCAUAAGCAAGUACCCGCAUUGCCGCACAUACUUUUUGUAGGGGCCCGAGUCCUGACAUGCCUGUUGCGUCAACCCUUUGUGUAAAGUAAGUAUCCUGUUGUUGCACUCCUUCCAUAAUCCGGAGAAACAAAGGCCUACUCAUGCGGAACCUAAAAAAUGUACAAAGGUUCGUUGUGAAUACUAUGAAAAUAUCAUAACCUAUUACAAUAAAAUGAAGUGCGUACCUUCUACGAAACAUGUGGGGUGGAUACACUGAGUUCGUGCCGAAAUAGUGAUGCUGGAUGAGGUUUUCUCCAGCAAAAUGAUCCCUGUGAAUGACGCGGCGAGGAAAACCGGACCGUCGUCGGUGAUGGCGUCUAGCCUCAAUGUUUAGGGUAAGAAGAUUGACAAGCAUAAGUGUUUCGUCAUCACUAUCACUCGAAUCGGAAUCAUCUUGCCUAUGCCUGUGAGACAUACCGAACAAUGGCUAACUUGAUGAAGUAGUCUUGUUUGUGCCUACAUAUGUGAAGAGAAAGAAUGCAUAUAUAUAGGCGAGAACAGUGUGGCUUCAGGGGGAAGCUCGUGGCUUUCGUUGAAAGCUAACCGUGGCUUCGUGCGUGCGACUGCUCGGGUUUGCUUGCAACGUAAGUGUGGUUCAAUAUAUUACAUCCCAAUUUUUUGUUAAAACUUAUGAUGGGCCACAAUUGUGAAGUAAUAUAUGCAAUUUCCAAUUAAAUGUUAACUGAAAUGUUUUAUUCUAUAUUAUGCGUAAUUUAAAACAAAUUAAUAAAUAUAUUUUUUUCCUUAUUUCAUACGAGUGCAACAUGCCGGACGUGUGAAAAGGAAAAAAUAUAAAUAGAAAAUGAAGUUGGUUAUGUUAGUUAUAUGGAAAUGUAUAUUUAAUGAGUAGAGGGAUAUAUAGGGGAAAAUUUAGGGGGCACGGUUGCGGGACGAGUGAAUAUAGGGGAGGGAAUCUUGCUGACGUGGCUGCAUAGUAACAUUUAGGGGAACGCUUGCGGAUAGCCUAAUGCAACUUGGCUGGACUGGAAUCUGGACCAAAUGAGCGAAAACAAGACAAGCACGUGGAUGGGCUUGCUAAUGGCAAAAAAAUCCAACACACUCCCACCGAUAUCUAAAUAUAAUAACUUUGAUAUCCAUCCUACCCCCACCCAAAAUAUAAUAAGGAAAUUAAACCCAACACAUCCAAUAAUAUUAUUAGCCCUAAACCAACCUGUAAGGGCUUGUUCGGUUUUACUCCAAUCCAUAUGGAUUGAGUGUGAUUGAUGGGGUUUUAAUCUCUAGUAAGUCAAAAUCCCUCUCAAUCUGUAUCAAUCUCCUUCAAUCCAUAUGGAUUGAAAAUAACCGAACAAUCCCUAAUUGGGCGGAAAUCCAUGGAAACCCCGUGGAUUCAGCUUAUUGUCUCACAUCAAGCCACCUGCAUACACAUACACUGAUACACAGUGACAAUUUUAUAAAUAGUUUCAAUGACGUACAAAAAACAUAGUCCACGACAUAAAAAAUAGUGACAACAAUAUUAUUCAAAGUCGCCUAGAGGGGGUGAAUAGGCGAAACCUGAAAUUUAUAAACUUAAACACACACUAAGUUUGGGGGUUAGUGUUAGAAUUAAAUUCAAGUCCGAAGAGAGGUGAAAAAAUCAAACAAGAAUCAAGGCGAGUGAACACGAUGAUUUGUUUUACCGAGGUUCGGUUCCAAAGAACCUAAUCCCCGUUGAGGAGGUCACAAAGACCGGGUCUAUUUCAACCCUUUCCCUCUCUCAAACGGUCACUUAGAUAGAGUGAUCCUUUUCCUUAAUCUCUUGGGCCACUUAGACCCCGCAAGGACCACCACACACUUAGGUGUCUCUUGCUUCGAUUACAAAUCACUUGAGAAAAGAAAUGAGAAAGGAAGAAGGCAAUCCAAGCAACAAGAGCGCAAAUGAACACAAAAUCUCUCUCACACAAGUCACUAAGUGUUUGAGAUGAAUUCGGGACUUGGAGAGGAUUUGAUCUUUUGAAUUGUGUCUUGGAGUGAAUGCUAGAACUCUUGUAUUGAAUGUGAUCUCUGAAAAACUUGGAUGUCAAAGGUUGUGGUGGUUGGGGGGUAUUUAUAGGCCCCAACCACUUUGUAGCCGUUGGCCAAGGCUGCUGGCGAUGGGCGCACACCGAACAUGUACUGUGUGCUGUCCGGUGCACCGCCACGUCAGCCAAAUGUUAGGGUUCGGAGCUGGUUGACCUUUGGAGGCUUUGUCUUCUUGCGGCACCAGACAGUCUGAUGCCCUCUGACUUUGUAGCUCUGACUUUGCCGUGCACUGUUCACCGUGGCAGGGGCUUUUGCAGUCGACCGUUGACGCUGGAUAGUCGUUGCUCCGCUAGCUCACCAGACAGUCCGGUGAAUUAUAGCGGAGCGCGUCCUGGAAUUCCCGAGAGUGACUGGUUUGGAGUUGUACGGGCAUGGUGCACCGGACACUGUCCGGUGCGCGAUUUUUCAGCACACUCAAGUUCUUUUGCUCCAAUUAAGUUGUGUCCCUAACUUGACUUCUUUCUUGGUUUAUGUUGAACCUUAUGCACCUGUAAUACAUGAAUUCUAGACAAACUAGUUAGUCCACGUGUUUGUGUUGAUCAUCAACCACCAAAAUUAAUUAUAGGAAAUGAUUAACCCAAUUUCUCUUUCGAUUAUACACUGAUACAAAAACAAGUUUGGUCGAUGAACAUUUAGGUCUCGAGAAAAUAACAAAAAACAUAUGUUAAAGAUCCUUAAUGAACAAUUAUCUUUUUGACAAGAAAUAUAAACUAGCAGCAGUGGAAAGAGUCUCUGAUCAAGCUCGAAGCUAGCAACAAAAGCCCACCGAAUGACACAUAAAUCUCUCUGUAAGUGAAAAGAAAAGAACCAUGUGUGAACGGUCCUGGGGCGACAGUGUGUUCGCUUCGUAUGGGCAUGGCCCUUCGGCUUGCUAGCCGGGCCGGGCCAGCCCGGUAGCACGCUGGCCCAUCUGAGUAUAUUGUAUAAUUUAACAAAAAAUGUGUGGCUAUGGGGGCUUGAACACACACCCAUGUAUAUGAGAGACUUAAACACACCAACCUAGCCAAUGCAGUUGCAAUUUUAUUGUGUUAUAUGUUGAAUUAUUAUACUUAAUAUAUGUAAACUAUUAUCUUUGAAAUAAAAAAUGUAACCGUGUCAUGCCUGUGCCAGCACUAUGGGUUGAGAUGGCGGCCCAGGCACGACACUAUACUAGCCGGACCGGGUCGUGCCUGGGCCAUGCUUUUUCGUGUCGUGCUUGGACUGGUCCAUCGUGUUAGUGCCAAUUGGCCAUCUAUAGCGCCAGGGGAUAGGGGACAGGGGGCGUCGAUGUCUAAGUGUGAAAGUGUCUAAUUAGCGUCGGGCGUCAGCAGGAGCCAGGGGAGCUCCGUCCGCUGAGGCGAAGACUUGGGGAGAGGGGAGACUCCGGUCACUGGGGCAGGAAGCAUGAUGCGACCGUUGGUGCAUGAGUGAAGACUUGGGGAGUUAGGGUUGAGUUGGGUAUGUUGGGACUUGGGACUAAGUUGGGAGUCGACUCUGUAGGAAACGGGUGACGCCUAAGAGGGGGGGUGAAUUAGGUCUUCUAAAACUUUUACUAAACUAGGCCACAAUUAAAUCCCUAGAGCAAAACCUAUGCAAGAAAUCAAAACUAGAAUGUGCAAACAAGGUUUUGUCUAAGUGUUGCUAUCUCUACCGCAAAAGGCUAAGUUUCAAUCUACACUAAAUAAGUACGACUACAAGAUUGAAACUUAAAUGCUUAAUAUAAAUGCGGAAUGUAAAGAGCUAAGUAGAGAAGCAAACUCUCGUGGAUGACGCUGGUAUUUUUACCGAGGUAUCCGGAACCGCGCAAGGUCCCGACUAAUCCUCGUUGGUGCCCCUACGCAAAGGGAAGCCCACGCGAGGGCCAAGCACCACGGUCGAGUAACUCCGUAGAGAGCCGCAGGCCUUCUCCACGCGCAAGUGGUGCUCCGCUUCCGGCUCCUCUCGGACGCUCCCCGCCGUCUCCACUAUCGAGCUUCCGGCCGAAACGCCGCGGGCCUCGUUCCCUCCGGUACACGGUGGCGGCCGUGACACAAACGCGGUUGUCACGGUCUCGCAAGACUCUCGCCCCACUCGGUACAAUUACAACGGCUCGCGCAAGAGCCGAGGGGUUGUGAGGUUUAUCUAAACUCACUCAACUAACUAGGAUUCACCUAGAGCAAGCGCUAAAGCGGUCUAACUAACCUAAGCACUUCGCAAAGCACCUACGCUAAUCACCGAGUGAUUCUAUUAAGCACUUGGGUGUUUGAGCACUUGGAAAUAUGCACUAUGUGUAUUGGAAUGUUGCUUGGGCUCUCACACUAGAGAAUGGCCGGUUGGGGUGGUAUUUAUAGCCUCCACACCCCCAACUAGCCGUUGGACAGAAAGCAGCAGCUUUCUGUCGUCGGGUGCACCGGACAGUCCGGUGCACCACCGGACACUGCACAGUAGAUGUCCGGUGCACGCCACGUCAGCCGACCGUUGGCGCCUAUAGCAGUCGACCGUUGGAUCCGACCGUUGCCGUCUGCCCGUUGGCACACCGGACAGUCCGGUGCACACCGGACAGACCGGUGCUACAGCCAGAGAGCGCCUGUCUGUGGCCUCUCUGCGCAGACUGUCCGGUGCCUCACCGGACAGUCCGGUGCACACCGGACACCGAUGUCCGGUGCGCCACCUGGCGCUGGCUGACAGCCCUCGUCUUGGAUUUCUUCGCUGAUUUCUUCGGGCUUCUUUGUUCUUGAGUAUUGGACUCCUAUGCAUCUUUUUAUUGUCUUCUUUUGAGGUGUUGCAUCCUCAUUGCCUUGGUCCAAUUCUCUUCGCAUCCUGUGAACUACAAACACAAAACACUAGAAAACUUAUUAGUUCACGGAUUGUGUUGUUCAUCAAACACCAAAACUCAAUUAGCCAAAAGGCCCGGGGUCCAUUUUCCUUACAAUCUCCCCCUUUUUGGUGAUUGAUGACAACACAACCAAAGCAAGCAAAUAAUACAAGUAUUUGAAUGAAAAUAUGCAAUCUACUUGCUAAGAUGCAUGAUUGUCCCCAUAAUGUGAUACUAUGGACUUAAGCCUCCCCCUAACUCCAUAAUUCACUUACUUCCUAUUUUUGGACCAAAUAACCAAAACCACUUGAAAAGCCAUUUGUAGAUAUAAAAUUUUAAAUUGGUGGUGUUUGGUGUUUGAUAUAGUUUUCAUUGCUUUGGCCCCUAAACUUCUCCCCCUUUGGCAUCAACCACCGAAAAGGAAGACAUUAAAAGCAUGUAGGAAGUAAAUAAAAGCUUGCCCUCAACAAGAAUUGUAUCAAAUGAUAUCACUAGAAGGAUAUUAAAUUAAACUAUGAAUGAUACCACUUGUAGGAGUUCCUCAAAAGAUUAUUUCCCUUAAAUGAGUAUUCUCCUUAGAAAGAAGUUUUUCUCCCCCUUUAGAGAUGAAGAAAUACUCCCCCUGACAAAGAUCCUCUACUUAGGAAAAAGCAUGUGAAAAUUAGAGGUGCAAGACAGGAUUUGAAAAGACUAACUUCCCUUAUGCAUAGGUAACAGAAUAUGAGUUAACCACUUAUGCAUUUUUAGCAACAUGGAAGCAUAUGAUAUGAAAUAUAGUCUAAUCAAAUAUUGGAGAAGACAUGUAAAUGAUACUGAAUGUAGUCUCAAAAGAUACCAAUUGAAGAUCAAUGGCGAGCUUGAGAGACAUGAGAGUUCUUUGAGAUUUUGCAGUGGAAGAUUGUUGUCUUUCUCCGGGGACCUUAUUUUCCUUACAAUGAGACUAUCACAUAAAAUAGACUUGAAAAGGUGUUAGUCUCAAAGUGUUAGAUUAUAGAGUAACCUCCCCCUAAAGGUGUGCAUACAAGUUUUGAAUACUUGUGGGAGACAUGCACUUUGAUUUGAUAUCAAGCGGGGCAAAUUAUCCAUAAUCCUAACUUUGGCACAUAUAAGUUAAAUGAUACACUUUGUAGAAAUCAAAAUUUUCAAUUGAUGCAUCAUUUACUAUGGAGUGAUAUAAAAGCUAUGUGACGUGCUUAAAUAAUCAUUUUAAGCCAUGUAGGUUUGCUUAAGUAUAUGAAUUAAAAACAAGCAAUCCUACCAUAUGAUUUACCUAGUAUGCAUGAUUUUAAACAAAGGUACAUGACAAAUGUAAUACUAGGCAAGACAGGUAAACUAGAUAAAAGAUAAAUAGAUACGCAUAUCUAAAAACGAGAAAUACAAUAAAACUAGUUACCUUAGUCAUGGGUGGGAAAUUUGGGUCCAAAGUUUUCACUAACUCACUUGGCAAUAAACUUGAUCCAAUAUGAUGUAUCCCAUGAUAUACAUCCCAAUUUUGCCAAGUCUCCAAAUUUCCCGAAGACCUUCGGUCCACUCACUUCCCUUUCGGGAUCCAAACCUUCUUGGUGCUUUUCAUGGUUGAAAUUAUCUCUUUUGGCACCCAGAUGCGUUUGGCCCCUUUUCCUUUGUUGGCUUGCUUGUUGGCCUUGAUUGCUAUCACAUUUCCAUUCUUCUUCUUUUUGAUUAAGUAUGGUGUAGCAGUCUUUUUAUCCACCUUUUUGAUGUAGGUGUUGGAGAUUUUGCUUGAUGGCUUUUGCUUGAGCUUUUGUCUUUGUUUAUCCCCGGUCAUCGCCUUGCAUUGGAAAGACUUGUGGCCUUCCUUAUGGCACAGCCUACAAAUCACAGUUUCUCCCUCUACAGGCUUGUUCACUCCCGCAGUGGUGUUAUCCUGUGGAGGUCGGAUUUGUUUAGCUUUGCCUUUCUUGUCAUACAAGGCCUUGCCAAGACGAGCCACUUCUUGCUUUAAUUGUUCAUUUUCCUUUGCAACCUCAUCCGAACAUGUCUCUACAACAAUAUUCUCAACAACAACUUGGUUGCAGGGGUUAGAAUCAUCAAUUAAAUCAAAGCAGGAAGUAGAAGCAUCUUUCUUAAUUAUUUCAGGUAUUUCAACUAAAGAUGCUGCUGGGGUGCUACCAAUGUUUUCUAGCUUAGUAGUUAGCUCAUUAUUGUGUAUGCUAAGAAUUUCCAUUUUCUCUAGCAAAUUUUUAAUAGCUUCUUGGGAGCUAGCUAACUUAGCCUUAAGUUUUUCAUUCUUUUUAAUAAGGCUAUCAUCGGUAGCAGUGGAUGGAGCACUAGACUCUAAUAGCUCAAUUUUAGUUGAUAGCUCACUAUUUAAGUUUGCAAAAGUUUCAAAUUUUUCUAGCAAACCUUUGUAAUCAUUUUGAGAGCUAACCAACUUAUUUUUCAAAGUUUUAAGUUGAGCUUUUUGCUUAGUGCAAACAUCCUGGAAAAAAUUAACGGCUUCCGCAAGUUCUUCUAGAGAGGCCUUUCCCUCACCUUCAUCAUCACUACUACUUUCAUCACUAGAGGAUGGAAUGCUUUUGUUACCUCUUGCCAUAAGGCAUUUGUGUGAUGACCGUGAUGAUCGUGACGAGGACCGGUGGCUGCGCGUCCUUGGAGGUUCAUCUUCACUUGAAGAGUCAUCCCAAGUUCCAACACUUGUGAGCGCCUUGCCUUUGCUCCUCUCCUUUUUGGGUUUGGCCAUAUUUGGACAGUUGUCCCUGAAGUGGCCCUUCUCCCCACAUGCGAAGCAUCCUCUCUUCCUUUGCUUUUUCCUGUCAAUGUUAAAGAGAAGAUCCUCGACCUGCAGGGGCACACCCAUUAGAUUAAUCUUGCGGAUCAUCCUCAUUACCUUUCCGACGCGUCGGAUUGUUUCUUCGUCCUCAGAGGAUGAUGUGCAUGGUUGAUUAUCUUCAUCAUCAUCACUUUCUUCUUCUUCCUCUUCUUCACUUGAGGAGCUUGGAGUGGGAGCCUUCUUUUUGCCCUUCCUUUCAUCACAUGCAAAAGCAUAUGGCUUUGAGGAAGUUGGCUCCUCUCCCCGACUCAUUUUUCGCGACAUCUCAAAGGCCGCAAUUUUCCCAAUCACAAUGGUCGGGGUCAUGUUGCUCAAGUCCUCCAUGUUGUGAAGAAUGGUGAUGAUGCUCCCAUAUCUUUGUUGUGGUAGCAGGGAGAUAAUCUUCCUCACAAUGUCCGCAUCACCUAGCUUAUUAAUGCCAAUAGAAUUGAGCUCAUUGAUAAUUAGAUUCAAGCGAGAAUACAUGUCUCUAACAAGCUCAUCAUCUUUCAUAGCAAAAGAAUUAUACUCAUUUAAGACUAGGCAAUGUUUUUGCUCACGGACAUUGGAUGUGCCGUCAUGGAGCUCAUGCAAUUUUAGCCAAAUCUCAUUAGCAGUUUUCAAGGUAAAUACUUGAUUAAAAAUAUCCAUGCUAAGAGAUUCAAACAAACAAUUUUUGGCUCUAGCAUUUAAAUGAAUUUCUUUUUCCUCACUCGUGGUGGGUUUCUCGGGAUUCUUGAGAGGUUUCAUCCCGUCACGAGUGACUCUCCAAACACCUAGAUCAACGGCCUCUAGGUAACAAGCCAUUCUAGCACUAUAAUAUGGGAAGUUAGUGCCGUCGAAGUGUGGUGGCCUAUGGGUAUCCAUCCCUUCCUCUAAAAAGUGUCGGCUCUUUUAGCGGUGAAGCUAAAGCGUUUCAAAUGAGCCAAACCGGGCUCUGAUACCAAUUGUAGGAAACGGGUGACGCCUAAGAGGGGGGGGGUGAAUUAGGUCUUCUAAAACUUUUACUAAACUAGGCCACAAUUAAAUCCCUAGAGCAAAACCUAUGCAAGAAAUCAAAACUAGAAUGUGCAAACAAGGUUUUGUCUAAGUGUUGCUAUCUCUACCGCAAAAGGCUAAGUUUCAAUCUACACUAAAUAAGUAUGACUACAAGAUUGAAACUUAAAUGCUUAAUAUAAAUGCGGAAUGUAAAGAGCUAAGUAGAGAAGCAAACUCUCGUGGAUGACGCCGGUAUUUUUACCGAGGUAUCCGGAACCGCGCAAGGUCCCGACUAAUCCUCGUUGGUGCCCCUACGCAAAGGGAAGCCCACGCGAGGGCCAAGCACCACAGUCGAGUAACUCCGUAGAGAGCCGCGGGCCUUCUCCACGCGCAAGUGGUGCUCCGCUUCCGGCUCCUCUCGGACGCUCCCCGCCGUCUCCACUAUCGAGCUUCCGGCCGAAACGCCGCGGGCCUCGUUCCCUCCGGUACACGGUGGCGGCCGUGACACAAACGCGGUUGUCACGGUCUCGCAAGACUCUCGCCCCACUCGGUACAAUUACAACGGCUCGCGCAAGAGCCGAGGGGUUGUGAGGUUUAUCUAAACUCACUCAACUAACUAGGAUUCACCUAGAGCAAGCGCUAAAGCGGUCUAACUAACCUAAGCACUUCGCAAAGCACCUACGCUAAUCACCGAGUGAUUCUAUUAAGCACUUGGGUGUUUGAGCACUUGGAAAUAUGCACUAUGUGUAUUGGAAUGUUGCUUGGGCUCUCACACUAGAGAAUGGCCGGUUGGGGUGGUAUUUAUAGCCUCCACACCCCCAACUAGCCGUUGGACAGAAAGCAGCAGCUUUCUGUCGUCGGGUGCACCGGACAGUCCGGUGCACCACCGGACACUGCACAGUAGAUGUCCGGUGCACGCCACGUCAGCCGACCGUUGGCGCCUGUAGCAGUCGACCGUUGGAUCCGACCGUUGCCGUCUGCCCGUUGGCACACCGGACAGUCCGGUGCACACCGGACAGACCGGUGCUACAGCCAGAGAGCGCCUGUCUGUGGCCUCUCUGCGCAGACUGUCCGGUGCCUCACCGGACAGUCCGGUGCACACCGGACACCGAUGUCCGGUGCGCCACCUGGCGCUGGCUGACAGCCCUCGUCUUGGAUUUCUUCGCUGAUUUCUUCGGGCUUCUUUGUUCUUGAGUAUUGGACUCCUAUGCAUCUUUUUAUUGUCUUCUUUUGAGGUGUUGCAUCCUCAUUGCCUUGGUCCAAUUCUCUUCGCAUCCUGUGAACUACAAACACAAAACACUAGAAAACUUAUUAGUUCACGGAUUGUGUUGUUCAUCAAACACCAAAACUCAAUUAGCCAAAAGGCCCGGGGUCCAUUUUCCUUACAGACUCGAAUACAGUCCUACGGUUUACGGAUGGGUGAAGACCCAUGGAAGCCCACGCAUAUGCAAACCCAUCUACACCCAUGGGUAUCAACCAUUUUGACCCACAAUACAAAAUAAAGCCACCCAACCCAAACCAUUCACAAUUAAAACCCAUCACAACCCACCAAAAUAAACUCAUUUCUUAAACCCACCUAAAAUACCCACUUACACCCACCCCUUUUUGCAGGCCUACGCGUGGACCAACACAACUCGGCAAGCCAAUAUAGCCGACUACUACCUCAAAAAAUAUUUUUCAACUAACCUUUUUUGUCUGUUUGGUUGUGUCCUCAGCUUAUGUGCCUCGCCUAGGCAGCAUCCCAGCCUCAGUCGACCAAAAGCAGACGCUUGGGAUGGAUGUCUGGACCAAGUUCGACCAGGUCUGAUGUCUCGUUGCCUCUUUUCGUAAUAACCCAUGAGUCAGAUGUUCCAUGGGACUCAAACAUGAUUUAGAAGUGCCCUCGGCAUCCGUGCGCUAGGGUACUGAUCACUUUGGUGCCCACUUAGAAUUGCCCCUCUAUAGCACCCCGGUUUCUCGCUCCAGAGGUUAUAAACCUAACUCCUUACCCCCCUUUAACCCUAGCCUCAUAAUCAUUUCUAUUACUCAUGUGCAUAAACCAUGUAAGGGAAGGGAAAUAGGAAAAGCGAAGGGAAAAAAGAAAACCCUCUCUCCCCUCGGUUGGGCCGGCUUUGGCCCACGUUCGCGACGCCCCUCUCUCGCCCUCGCCCGCGUUCACGCCUCCCCUCUCCCUCGGCCCAUCUCUGGUCUGUCUCUGCGCGUGUCAGCCCGCGUCCCCGCCCCGCUGUCCGCCCGACCCUCUCUCUCUCACUAGCCUUUCAAGAAAACAUGGGGCUCGUGUUGUCGCUCGAGGUAUCGCUACUGAGGGAGUCGUGGUGGCAGGGUCCGAGCUCGGUAAGAUGGCGGGGUCUGAGUGAAAGGGAAAUGGCAUUAAAACCCAUUUCUUGUAUUUUGUUGCUUGAUUACCAUCGUAACCAUUCAGACUGAUUAGUUUGCCUAGUCUCUGAUUCAUAGGUUCGUAAGAUCAACAAUUCAGUUUCUAAGUCGGAAUCAGCUCAGUUCCAACCAAAUAGGGGUAACACAUGGAAUAGAUGAACUAACAGUAGUUCUACUCUUUGGACAAAUUCUAAAUACCCCGAGAAACCUUUUCAACACGUCUAAAAAGGUUGGAAAGCUCGAAAUCAACAUAUCACUAUUGUGGAGCUAGUAUUAGGCAAAAGAAGAUACAUGAGUGAAAGAAUCAAAUUGCAAAGAGGAUUGGACUAAGGAAAUGAGGAUGCAACACCUCAAUAGAAGACAAAAUGAAGCAAAAAGGUCAAAGACUCAAGAUCAAAAGAAGCCCAAAAGAGUCAGCAAAGAAAUCCAACAAUAGAGCAAGACAAGCUUGCUCCAGCCUGCGGCGCACCGGACUGUCCGGUGUGUACCGGACACUGCUGGCGCACCCCAUGAACUGGCCGCUCUCGGGAAAAUGAAGAGCUCCAUGACUAAAAUUCACCGGAUUGUCUGGUGUGCACCGGACUGUCUAGUGAGCCCAGGGCCAAACAGUCAUCUUCACCAACGGACGACUGCUAUGCGGUCAGAAGUGGUCAAAGAAAGUCAGUCACACCGGACAGUCAAUUUAUUCCCCUCUCAGCUAUCUUGAUUCUUUCGGAUAGAAGAGGUCGAGCAACAUAUCUUGGAAGUUUGAGUAUGCAAGCGUUUCUGUGAGGCUUCUCCUAAUACUUUGUCCAGUAUUUUAUGUAUAUAGUCACCCAAAAUACUAUUUUACAAUGUAGACUGUAUUACUCGCAAAGUAAAGUUUAAAUAUAUGUAUGGGUACACCGCUGGAGAUAGCUAAGGAUAUCAACGUUCAUAUUGCAACUCAACACCAAAUUUUUAAAUUGAUCUAGCAAAAAAGUUAUCAUAUUUCUCCCGUGCUUGAUAGUGACAUUAGCAUGAAAAAACUUCCCAAGGAUUUCCAUGGCGUGCUUGAUAGUGACAUUAGCAUGAAAAAACUUCCCAAGGAUUUUCGAGUUGAAACAAACCUAAACCGAGCCUAAUCCUAAGGCUCGUUAGAAGAGCGAGCCGGCUCGAGGCUCGGCCCAAACUCAUGGCGUGCUGAUCUAAAAAGGCCCAUUAGCAAGCAUAUGCCAACUUAGCAAACUCUAGGAAGUAGGAUUUGUACGCAACGUGACCACCUCUGCCUGGAUAAAACUUUUGGACAGAAGUGUCACGUUCAUUUUUUAUAAUGGAAAUAAAAAAUUCCCAGCCCUUUAUAUUUUCCUACAUACGGGCUUGCAAUUUAAAAAUUAACAAAACACGUCAUUAAAAAAGAACAUUUUUAAAAAGAACUUUUCUUUGAAUCAAACGUCCUUUAACCUGGUAUUAGACCUCCAUCUAUAUUUUACAAAAAUCUCUAUUGUCACCCUCUCUAAGAAUUAACAUACCACAAAAAUCUCUUGAUGAGUUUUUUAUUUCUGAAAUAAUCUCCAGAGUCUAAGCCAAUACGUCUUCCUAAAAAGAAUCUAUAAAAACUGAUGAUAUUUAUUUAAAAUUAAAAGCCACGGUACUGGGAGGAAACUCCGUACCACACGCACAUGGUAUAGAAUGGAACUUGGAAACUACCACAUGCACAUGAACAUGAUGAGUACAUCUGCACUGCACAUGAGCUACGAGCCGUAGCUGUGCUGUGCAAGGUAUGUACAGGACACAUACAGGAGAAAGCGUCCAAAAACCUCCAUCCCGCGGCCACGGCCACGGCCCACGGGCCACCAACCCUGUAUGGCUGUAUUGUAAUUGUAACUAACCGUACACGAGCGGCCGCGCUCGAGUAGGAAGCAACAGGGAACAGGGAACAGUAGCAGACUGCCAUCCAUCAGUCGCGGGUGUCUGAGGUUCGAUUCAACUGAUGAGUGGGAUGCGAGCACUUGCGGCUUCGGGAGUCCUCCAUCCCACGGAUUCACGCCUGAUUGCCUGUGCGGCGGCGAAUAAUCAGCUGCCGCGGCAGAUGGAUGGCAGGAGCCGCCGGGCCGGCGAACCAUGGUUGUCGCACACUACCGCGGGGAGCGCUGACUUCUCUAGCCCAUUGCCUGCCUGUCAAGGACUGGCAGAACCAAAACCAAUAAAACCCAGACGACAUCAAUCACCUCAGCCAGAAACGAACUCGCAACAGCCUCUCAUCGAGUACAUGUACUAUUAAAACCAUUGUACCUAGCCAAUAUAAUAUCGAAAUAAUUUCUAGAAAAAUCUCAGAGACACGUUUUCUGAAGAGGCAUAUGACGACAUUUAGACGAGUGUGAUAAUAUUUAGUCCCACUUUGCUGAUUAAAGCGGAGGAAACAUAAACUAAAUAAUUGUCCGCUCUUCGUAGUCUCGCACGUGUUGAGCAAUAGGUACAAGGUAGAACACACUCGCCUCGUCCUCGCCGGGUGAAGAGAGCGGACACACGACAUAUAUGUGAACGGCUGAUCGAAAUUAGAGUCCAAGCCUUGCGCGCUCAGUUCUUUUUUUGGUUCUGUUUUAUCGUUUAUUCUAUAAUCCUUAUCAACGAGAGAUCGUCAGCAUUCUUUAUCCGGUGUGUAUCCUUAUCUGAUGCAGAUCAUUGAAUUCUUAUCGCGUACGUAUUUUUUGGAAAAAACAUUAUAAAGUUAUGGUGACUACAUCGUUUACCAAACAUGUCGUGCUUAACAAUGUGGACUCCAGUAUCUAUCACCAGAACAAGACAUAUCUGCCGCUACAGCAAAACAUGCUCGACACUGUUGUAUGACUGGGGCGUGCACGUGCACCACGUUUGACAGGAUAUAAGCAGUUGAAUCUAUGUUGGACGGGGUCCAUUAAUGAGCAUGCUAUAAAAGAGAGUGUUAUGAAUCAAUACAACAUAAAGUAGAUCAAAUACAUAGAAGACAUAUUUAAUGUGGAAAACCCCUCCAAGUCGAAGGAGAAAAACACGGGCACCGACCAGCAACAAUCUCACUAUUUUCGGGUGGUUACAUAUCGCAUGAGACUUACAAUGAGAUUAACUAUCUCCUGUGGAUUACAAGUGUAUUUAUAGAGAUGAAACUUUAAACUGAGUAGGGAACGAUUCGGUCCAAACCUCCCGGCAACGGUCCUCCGCUUCGCUCGCCAACUUGACCGCAUUCUUCAGAAUUUGGAGCACAAACUCAAUAGAGACGAGUACAACAACGUAUAAAGGGGCACUCACACGUAGGGUUUGAUCCACAAUCGAUUCACAUACCGCAAGCUAGGUCGAACCAAGGGUCCACAAUUGUAGGGGGACACACGAUGCCAGUUAGCCUACAACUCUCACCAAAAUUAAAGGAAAAUGGAGAGGUAGUCGAUCGUCUAACUAACAUUGCUUAAUCUUAUCCACCUCCACAUUCACCAAUUCAUUUGUCAUAAAUAAGAUGUGGAGUAUCUUGCUUCCGUGAUCCGAAUCUUUGUAAACCGAUUAUGUGUUGGUAGCAAAUAGCGGUACCCUACAUCUAGCAAGCCUCUUGCCUAUAUCCUUCACUCAGUUAGUAACUCUACAAUUUUUUGGGGUACCUACAUAUCCUAAUGUCAUUAGGUGGUGGCAUUUGGCAUGCCAUGUAUAGGAGAUUUUGGUUGGUGUGCUUAGUUGUGUUGUGGUGCCAUGGCAUCACCGAUACACUUAUAUAAUGGAUAUAUAUUUUUUCUUUUUUAUAUCUCAUGAUACAAGAUAAACUAGAAACUGUAAUUUGAUAUAAUGAUAGGGUAAAUAACAAAGUAUAUCUAUAAUUUUAAAGAAUCUUUAGAUCUUUUGAUAGUUAGAUUCCAUAUAAAAUUUGAUUAGACAACAGACUCAACCCGACACUUUGGCCUAUUUGGGAAAACUUUAUCUGAAGAGGUUUCCAGAGAAUCUGGAUUCCUAAAUAAUAUAGUUGUCGGUAGAAUCUUAAUAUCGUAUGGUUUAAGUGUGAAAGAAGUUGAAAGGGCCUGCAUGGUUUAAGGUGGUUUAGGAAGCGACUGAUUCCUCUCGUCGCGAUGACUCGACAUGUUCUACAUUUACAUUGAGUUGAACGAUUUUUACAAAAAAUAACAAUUCUUAUAAAAACAUAUUUAGAAGCAAACCAUUUAAUCGACGAGAACUGAUUCUCACGACCAAGAUGUGACUAAAGCCGAAACAAACACGAUCUAAAUUAUAGUAUAGCCGAAACAAACAUGACCUAAAUUACAGUAUAGCUAUAAUCCAGUGCCGUCCACAACGGACGCAAGUGAGAAUAUUGCGCUCGUCUCUUCACCAACUCUGGAUUUGGACUCACAUGGGCGCGUCGCGCUUUCUUCAUCCUUUCGUUUGUUGUACUCCAUCCGAGAGAAUACACAACUCGCACCAGUUGCUUGCUCAAGACCACCGACCAUCAUGGGCAAGGAAUUGAGGCGGUAUGCGUGCACCGAAUCACCGAUACGUGCAUGAGACUAUGAGAGCAUGAACUGUUUGCGGCGGCCAGCCAGCGCAGGUAACUUUACGCGAAGCUAGCGACGUCAACGUUGAUGGACACGGAGAUGCCGACGCCUCAUGCGUUUUGGCUGCCUUGACGUGACUCUAAGGCUGCCCGCAGUGGGCGACUGCAUGCCCGCGUUACCUGAUUUAGCGUAAAAAAAAUGCUGCAGCGCAGGACUCUACCCGAUACUGCAUGCUCUGCGUUACGCUAUUUCUAGCGCUCUCUCUCACCUACGCCAAACAGAGGCAGUGCAACUGCAGCAGCAGAGAUGGGCCCACGACUGCACGCUCUCUCCCACAAUCGCUAUGAAGUGCACGCAAGCACAGUAGAAAAAAUAAUAUAAUAUGUGGUAUUUGGUAUAGGGUUGAGAUAUAAAAUAAACAUGAGUGCGGAGGAUUCUGGUAUAGAGUAAAGAAUUUUGCUGACCAGGAUAGAAUAUUCUUUUUAAGGUAGAAAUUUAGAGUAGUAUGAGUGCAGAUAGCCUAAGUCUGUAACGGCAAAGCCUAGCCAGUGCUCCGGCGACCCGACCCGAACCUUUUCGCGGUGCAUGGCGCACGGGCAUCAUGCUGCGCCCCCGUUUGCGCAGCUGCAGCUAGCUCGCUCGUCUUUUCAGCUUUUGCGAAGUCAGCAAGUGCGUGUGUUGUGAGAGACUGCUGCGUCUGCGUGCCGCCCGCCCGCCCGCCGCCGCCGCCGCCACCGCUAACCAGGCGGCUUUUACGCUCGACACAUGACGCGCCACCGCCGCGCCGGCCUAUCCACCUACGCCGGCCGGGCCUCCUUCAAGUGCUGCUCCAGAAUCGUACGCGAGAUCCUCACGAAAAAAAAAGCUCUUUUCCGCGCCAAAGUUCCGCUCGCUCUGCACAGCAUCCCAUCCCACUCCCACCUCAGGCGACGAAUCUUUGGUGCCCAGCGCACACAAACGAACACACAAAUCGACCCUCCACCGCUACAGAGAGCUAGAGUGGUAUGUAAGCGUGUAAGGUGUAACCUUCGUCGCUUGUUUAAUAAAGCUAAAGAAGACAAGCAAGGAGUAACCGUUAAAUAAUAAAAGCCAUCAUCUUCGUCGCUCGCUUGACGCUCGUCUCGCCACAAAACGACGGCGGGCACAUGCACGCUUCGGUGUCCGAUGCCGCUCGCUGUGUAGUGUGUAGUAGUACGCGAACUCGUGAGACAUUGGAGACCUAAAACAAAAGCUGAGCUCCAUAUCGGGUUCGUGGACGCCAUUAUUGCCGUAGCCUCUACUUGCCACGCUCCACCUACAUUCCCAAGGCCAAAGAACCCCAGACGCGGACACGGAUGAAAAUCCAAGGUUUUGUGCAGUGGAGAGGACGAGCACCCACGCGAACACUUUUCAAAGCCCUCCCUCCCUCACUGGCACACGCUAACCGAAGAGCGAGCGCACCAGGCGUAGGAGUAUGGUUGUUUGGUAGCUAGACAAAGAAUUGAGGGGGUGGCCAGAACCGCCAGAUGCUGCGAAGGCGCAGAGCCCGGAGCACCCAGCAGCGACCUGUUCCGUUGGCGUUGGCUCACCACCCGACCACCGUGCGCGCGAGCAAAGAGAGCCCCUGCCCCCCUGCUGCUCUCCGCGCCCACUGUUCCCUCUUCAUCCAGGCACAGGUGACACGGGCACCUGUUCACCUUUGCAGGGCCCUGAGCCCCUGCGGCCGGCCUGUAGCCCUGAACUGAUGAACCUGCAGUUGCAGCUCAUUUUGCAAGACACGGACAGCUCUCUCCUUUUCGUGCUCCCUUUGCUCCCUUUUCUUUCAGUCGCUUCACACUCCACGGACUCGAGCUUUGGCUUUGUGGCGCCUGUGAAUCUGCCAACAAAGAAAGGACUGAAGGGGGAGGGAGGAGAGGGCUGAUCCAAGUGCUUUCACCCAUCUGCUUGUUUCUCCAUUUGUUGGCCUGCAAUGGCGGGGAGCUUCGACCUGAGGACGCCAACCAGAGGCGUCGAGCAGGUGAGUCAAAAUCUCCUCCCCCCCUUACCCAUUUCCACUCCAGUUCUUGGAGGAUUUCACGACCAUUUUUAGUAGCCUGGAGCGGGAAGGCUUGAUACUUCUUCUUUCCUUAGCCAUUUUCGGGGGAUUCUAUAUCUGCAUUUUUUUGGGGGGAAAUGAAACGCAGAGCAUUGGGAUGCACCUACUGAUUGCUUCAGCUCGUUGCUUUGUUCAGGCUAUCGUUGCUCUGAAGAAAGGCGCACAUCUCCUGAAAUGUGGCAAGAGGGGGAAGCCUAAAUUCUGCGCCUUCAGAAUAUCAUCUGUGAGUAAUCUAGUGCCUGCGAUUUCCCUUCAAGAAAUCCUAGAACCUGUCUUUGAUACAGGGAUACUCCCUUGUUGUCCAUGAUUUCAGUUUCUUCUUCUUAUUUUUCUUUUUAUUUACACACGACUCCUAGUUUACGAAGGGGGGCUUUAGUACAAUAGUUCCUAGGGUGGUAACUCUGAAGUUACAGAGAUCUAAUGGUACAACUUUUUACCCCAGUUCAUUCUGCUAGAAAUGUUGAACUAGAUGUUUAAAGCUCGUGUCCUUCGGAAGCUGCUUACAAGCCCUGCCAGAGAGAGACUGACAUCAGGUUUAAAUAGAUUGGAUAGCGAGUAAUAAUAUUGUUCUCAACCAAUAAAUUACAGAAGAUUCCUUUGAAUCCCAUUUCCUGAAAUGUCACAGAACUGCAAAUACCCCUGUCGAUAUCAUAUGAUUCUAUAAUACAGUUCAAACUUUCGAAGCUAGGACCACCAUUCCAAGCCUUAGUUCUAGAGCAGCCCAACUUUUGAACCGUGGCCACUACUAGUCAUACAAGUAUUUAGGUUUGUCACAUGACAAAUGAUAUUAGUAUAUUGGUUAUCAGAAAUUCAGAAGUGCCUCCAGUCUUUAUUUCACAAUUUUUGCAUAGACAUGGUCAGAAGAAGUAGCAGUCAAAUGUUUAUAUUUUGACAUUAAUAUAUUUUGGAGGGGGAAGUCAUAAAGUUUGGUCCAAUUGAACCGUGAGACCUUGGCAGUUUCCUGUGGCUAUUGUAUUCUAGUUGAAUUGAAGCUUGUUAUGUUGUGUAUAUGUAGUUCACUAGUUAUAUGAAAAUCCACCUUCCAGUCAUGGUGAAAUAUUUUCUUAUAUUUUCAGGAUGAGACAACAUUAAUAUGGUACUCAAAAGGGAGGGAAAAACACUUGAGCUUAAGCUCCGUGUCAGCUGUGGUUCUUGGCCAGAAGACGGUAUACAAUUAAUUUUGUGCUGAAAGAAUAGUCAUGGUAUUCAUUAUUCAUAUUAUAACACUGCAACCAUUUCUAAAGAUUUCAGAAUUUUGCAGAUAAAAUUUCUGCGACAGCGUUGUCCAGAGAAGGAACCCCAUUCCUUUUCACUUAUAUACAAAAACGGAGAGCGCUCACUUGACUUGGUAUGUUCAUUGCAAUGUCCAAGUCAUUUUGGUCUGCAAGUCUGUAGUCCAUUUUUCCUCACCAGCACCAUAUUUUUGAAAAACAAUGACCAGAUCUGCAGCGAUAGAGAUCAAGCUGAAAACUGGUAUCUGGGCUUGAGGGCCCUAUUACCAACUCCUUGUAAUCCAUGUUCAUCAAUUGAAUCAAGGAGCAGUAGGCAGAUCGACAGUUGUACAAAUACUCCCAGCAGCUAUAUUCAGCUUAAGAGUAAGUUACUAAGUGUGCAUGGCACACCAAGGCACAUACAGGUUAGUUCAGGAAGUUACAUUGUAGCAUCUGAAUGAUAACACUUGUAUAGCUCGCUUUGGCAUUUUUCUCUGGUAUUUCAUGUAGCAACAUUUGUUUUUUUUCUCGGGAAAGGGGAUUCACGUGGCAACUACAGGGCAGGGACUGUCUGAAUUUGAAAUUCAGGAGGCCAAUUGAUAAACACAACAUUCUUAAGUUGUACCAACUUAUAUCAAUCUCAGCAAACCACACAUCUAUGAAUUAUGAUUGCAAGGGUACUAGUAAAUGAGAUCAACAUUGAAAUGAUUUUGACUUUAUGAACCCAACAAUUUGUGUAGUUUAAUCUUGUCCAUAUGUAAGUAGGCAUACCUUACUGAUGCGCUUUUCUGUUUCUAAACACUUAAUUCUCUUGGUUAAAUUACAGUCUUCUGUUUGGGUCUAACAAUUCGUCUAAUGCACUUCAUGUUAAGGUAUGUUCAUCGCAAAGGAAGCCCAAGAAGGCACACGGAACAUUUUUUGGUGGUAGCGCUGAUUGUUCAGAAUCAUUAUUUUACACAAGGCAGCGAACAUUCUCUGACAUAGGUACCUACUUGGAAAAUCUUACACGCAAGAUGUCAAAUCCAGAAAUACAUGAUUUGAAGGAUGUUAUGGUUGGUAACCAAGAAAAGGAGCAGAAAAUUACCCAAACACCUAAACUGAAAACCUUUGAAGGACCCCGUGCAGCAUGUAGGUUAGAUUCUCUGAAGGAUGUUUUUUUCUGGGGUGAUGCUUUUGGAAGUAUUUUAGAGUGUGGUGAUACCUCAAAACCCCUUCCAAUGUUAGUGGACUCAACGAACAUGCUUGAUGUACAAAGCAUUGCUUGCGGAGAGACUCAUGCGGCCAUAAUCACUAAGCAAGGAGAGGUCUACUCCUGGGGAAAUGAGAGCAGUGGCAGAAUUGGAAAUCAAGUAAAUAUCAAAGUCUCCCGGCCCAAGGUCGUUCAAUCUCUUGCCUCUUUACAUGUGAAGGAUGUGGCCUAUGGAUCAAAGCACACUUGUGCAGUAACUGUUUCUGGUGAACUUAUUGAAUGGGGAGAAGGACCCUAUAUGGGCCAGUUGGACAGCUAUGCGAGGAAUCAAUGGUUUCCGCAUAAAUUGUUUAGUCCACUGGACGGCAUAUCUGUUGUGAAGAUUGCUUGUGGUCCUUGGCACACAGCAAUAAUAACGUCUUCUGGUCAGUUAUACACAUAUGGGGAUGGAACAUUUGGUGUUCUUGGUCAUGGAGAUACACAAGGAACUACCCGGCCUAAAGAAGUAGAGUCUUUGAAAGGCUCAAGAGUGAAAUGUGUGGCAUGUGGGCCAUGGCACACAGCUGCCAUUGUGGAAGUGAUCAGUGAUUUCAAGAGCAAUUCACCAAGAAGCAAGCUGUUCACAUGGGGCGAUGCAGAUCGGGGGAAGCUGGGUCAUGCUGACAAAAAGAUGAAGCUUAUACCAACAUGUGUUGAUUCACUCACAGACUAUGAUUUUAUUCAGGUGUCCUGCGGGACGGCACUCACUGUUGCUCUCUCUGUUACUGGUGUGGUCUUUACUAGUGGCAGUUCGAUGCAUGGGCAAUUAGGGAACCCCCAUGCAGAUGGUAAAACUGUUUCUGCUGUUGAAGGACUACUUAAGAGCGAGUUUGUCAGACAUAUAUCAUCAGGUUCUUCCCAUGUAGCAGUGGUGACUACAAAUGGGAAAGUGUUUACAUGGGGUAAAGGCAAGGAAGGGCAGCUUGGUUUAGGUGACUUCCUUAAUAGGAGCACUCCAACUUUAGUAGAUGCAUUGGAAGGUAGGCAUGUGGAAAGCCUAUCUUGUGGUUACAACUACACUGCAGCAGUAUGUCUGCAUAAAGUAAUCUCAAGGAAGGACCUCUCUGUAUGUAGUGGUUGCAAGAUGGCUUUUGGUUUCACUAGAAAGAAGCACAACUGUUACCAUUGUGGAUCCAUGUUCUGUAAUUCCUGUAGUAGUAACAAGGUUGCCAAGGCAGCACUUGCACCAGAUAAGAGCAGAAGGUAUCGUGUGUGUGAUGGGUGUUUCAGUCAGCUACUGAAAGUUGUGGAUUCUGGUAAGGUAAAGUCUGAACUAAAUACCAGCAAAGGAGCUGAAAUUAUAAGGUCAUACACACCAAAGUUGUCUCGUAUAUUCAGGGAUGUAAACUUACCUGUGGAAAAGGAAAAGGUGGCUUUAGUACAACGCUCCAAUCAGAGAAAUGAGGUCCUGUACACUCCAGUCCAAGCGAAAUCUCAGAGAUGGGGGCAAGUUGAGUGCCCAGCUCAAUUUCUAUCUGCAGAAGACAGUUCUCAUUAUCAAUCUAUAUCGAAGAAUCACAUGUAUAGUGCCUCUGUUUCCGAGAGAAUGCAUGACCCCACAGUGCUGAAGUCUGGCAGAUCUUUGCAACAGCCUAAUGAUGACCAGAGGAAAGAUCUUAACAGCAUAGAAGAAACCUUGCUCACUGAAGAAGUAAAGCAGCUUCGUUCACAGGUAACUUUAUGAGUUUAUGUCAUUGAUAAGCAAAUAGUUUGAUCCCCUUUCCAGAACUAAACGAGAUGAUACUGUUAGACAUGCGACCAGGCCAGAACUGAGAUUUCGGUGGCCUAGAGCGAACAUAAAAAUUGGGCCUCCUAUAUAAGUAUAACAUUUUUUUCAGUAUACAUAUAUAUAAUCUUACAUUAUAUAGAUAAUAAUUAAUGUAAUAUCAAAAUAUUAUACCAAAUAAAAUUUACAAUGCCUCAAAAGUUUCUUCUAACAUUUUUUGAGGUGGUCAUCAAUGAUUACGUUGAUAUCAGUCAUAUCUAAUAUUUUUUUCUCGAUACAUAAGGUGGCCAAACCAUUCGAUCGUUCUUGAGAGAUUGUAGAUCUCAAGUAGUUGAUGUCACCAUGACAGAUAUAGUAAAUAAGAUUCGAUAAGCUAUAGAAACAUUACGAUAUGAAUUCAUAAAAUUGGCAUACUAAUAAAUCUCCAUAGAAGACAUAGGUGGUUCUGACAAGCUUAACUUUAAAACUCUUAAUAUUAGCUAUAUAACAAACUGCAGGAGUUGGGGCCCUAGGGCGGCCGCCCUAGUGGCUCUAUGCCUAGAGCCGGCCCUGGACCAGCUCUUGGGUAUCUUGUUCCUGAUGGCAUAGUUUGUUGUCUUUGUUGCUCUCUAUGAUCUAAAACAAGCUUCUCGUAUUGUUUGAGCGCUUUGCCUCUGUAAUCGCUGGUGCUAGUUUUGCUUUGAGAGCUCAUGACAGACCUUGUUUGUUCAUACUUCAUCACGUGGUCACACUCUUCAUUUUUAUGUUGAUGAUAUGAUCAUCACCGAUGAUUCUGAGUGUAUUGCCUUUGUCAAGGCACGUCUUAGUGAGCAAUUUCUCAUGUCCGAUCUUGGUCUUCAUUAUUUUAUUGGGAUUGAGAUUUCUUUCACCUCUCAUGGCAUUUAUUUGUCCUAAGAAAGGUGCAUUUAAUUGUUCUUCCCUCACCGGCCAUCACACUGUUGAGACUCACAUCGUGCUUAAUCUCCAAAUUCGUGCCACUGAUGAUGAACCCUUCACUGAUCCCACAUGGUAUCGCCAUAUUGUUGGGAGGCUUGUCUAUUUGGGUGUGACUCAUCCUGGUAUUUCAGUUGCUGUGCACAUUCUUCGUCAAUUUGUUUUCGCUACUACUCACCUCCACUAUAACCAUCUUCUUCAUGUCUUGUGUUACCUUUGUGGACCAUUACUCGAUGUUUGUUCUUUCCGCGCUCUAGCUCUAUUCAACUCCAAGCCUACUUUGAUGCUACUUGGGUUAGCGAUGCUGAUUGUCGCUCUCUUUCUGCCUAUUAUGGUUUUCUUGGUGGUUCUCUCAUUGCUCGGAAGAUUAAGAAACAGACCGUGAUUUCUCAUUCAAGUGCAGAUGCUGAGUUGCAAACUAUGGCUCUUGCGACAGCAAAGGUUACUUGGCUGUGACUGUGUCACUGUGAUGGUACUUGAGGAUUUUGGUGUUUCAGUUUGUGUGCCAACUCCUCUCUUGUCUGACUGGUGCUAUCAGCAUAGCUUGUGGUCUGGCGAAGCAUGGGCUCACUAAACAUAUUGGUGUUGAUGUGUCUUGGACUCGGGCCCAAGUGCAGGGUGAUGUCAUUGCUCUUGGCUACGUGUCCUUUGAGCUUCAGUUGUCUGACUUCUUCACAAAGGCAUAAACGAGAGCUCAGCAUCUGCACUGAGUUUUCGCAAUCCUCCCUGAGUUUGAGGGGGGUUGUUAGAUAUAUUUUAUGUGUUUGUAUUUUCCCUUUUGUAUAAGGGUGUCUUUGGCUCUUUGCAUACCUGUACAUGUACAUAUUGGGUUAAAGCACUUCUCAAUGCAAGCUCUAUUCUAACAGAUAUUAUUGCUGCUGUUUCAAUAGAUGACACUUCUCAUGGAGCAAUACCAUCAGAAAGCUCUUCAGGUUGAACUGUAUAAACAAAAACUCGAUGAGACAUGGCUAAUUGUUAGGAAUGAGGCUGCAAAAUGCAAAGCUGCCAAAGAUAUCAUAAAGGUUCUAACUGAUCAGGUAUGGGCAUAAACCAUACUCUGAUUCCAAAGUAUUGUCAGCACACUGUUUCAGUUGCAGUUUUAGUUUCAGUAAGAAAGAAAGUGUCAUGCAUCACUUUGUCUUGUUUGACAUGUUUGCCUGUUGUGAACUGUGCAGUGUAAGGCCUUGUCAGAGAAACUUUUGGUCGGUCAGCAAUAUGAGAACCUUGAGACAAAAUCUAAUAUCAGCCAAGGACAAACAUUUUCAGCAGAUUUGCAACAUCAUCCCAGUGAAAAAUUUGCCACAGGCAAAUUCGGACAACUCGACAACACCAAAAAUCACCAGACCAGCAGCCAAGGAGACGAAGAAUAUACACCUUCUUCAAGUUCUGAUGUGCAGGUAGAAGGAUUGUGUGGUCAUUUGAAUGGUUCAAGAACAUUUGACAGUAAUGGCCGUAUUACAGAAGGGAAUUCCAUUGUUGCUCGCGUCACCUCCAAUGGUGUGAUCGAGCAAAUCGAGCGUGGGGUGUAUGUCACAUUUGCUGUAUCACCUUGUGGCAAGAAAGACAUAAAACGUGUACGAUUCAGGUGGGGUCCUAGAAUGACUUACUGGUGCUUCAUUUUACCUUUCACAUUUGCAGUAACCUAACCAGGCAUUCUUGGUGCAGUCGGAAGCAUUUUGGCGAGAAGGAAGCUCAACACUGGUGGGAAGAGAAUAAGGGCAGCGUCUAUGCAAAGUACAGCACUGAAAAAGCGCAACAUCAGCUAGAGGUUACAAUCAAGAGUGUACAAGAGUAACCACAAGUUGGAUUGGGUUACCUACUGCUGAGCAAGAUGAAAAAAUGACAUGGAGCAAAUAAGAUGAUAUUAACGGAACAGAUAACUGACCGUCCUUUUUCAAUGAAAAUAGGCAGUUUAACUUAUUGUAGAUACGAAUGUACAGAUAAGAAUGAGUGAAUGACGGCUGGAUGCCUCCUUUCUUUUCUCCAUUUCCUCCUGAUUCAGUUGGCAUGAUCUAGUCUGAUGAACAAUGCAGUGCUGAAUUGAACCAGUAUCAGUCGUAAUUUUCUGGCAGAAAGUAGAAUUUGUUCAGUAUUAGUUGUUUCCCUUGAUUCUUCAGAGCAACUAAACCUGCAACAAUGGAAGUUUCAGACACAAAGCUAAUAGUUGUCAGCGUUCAUAUUCUGACGGAGAAAGCAUCCAACUGAAAACAGUUCUAACACUCGGCGCCAAUAGGAAGGCAAGGCUUAUCCUUUCGAGUCUCCACCAUACCACCACCAACAAUGGCGAGCAUUCACGCCGGCUUUGCCUCCACCAUCGUUGCUUGCAGAAGCUUUAGCUUCACUAUCGUGGCAUGCCCCUCCCCCUCGCCCGCGCAUUGUACGGCCUCCUCUUCCAGUGGGGUCCGCAACCAGCGGCGCAAAUCCACUCCCCCAGCCGCCGAGUGCCUCCCAUGGCGCCGCCACCAGGUUGCACGUCAGCGGUAGGCGCCCCGAUCUCACUGCACUCCUUUAGGGCUUCAUGCCAACGAUUUUCAGACGAAAUUUGAAAUGUCCACAGCCGAAUUCAUAUAAUCGCGCACCUAUUUGGGGUUCCCUCUGUCGCUAAACUUUAGGGUUGGUGACUUUAAUUGACUAAGGGAUGCCUAGUAGGGUGUGUGGCUUUAUUUGAAAAAGUAAGAUUCCCUUGAAAAUCAAAUUCUUCAUUUGGCAGAUUUUUAACAAAAAACUUCAGGUUGCCCUGUUGAAGGCUAAAAUGAGCCUGGCGGACGGUCCGGCCCUGAGGCCGGACGGUCCGCGGUCCGGACUGUCCGUGGUGGUGGCGCGGACGGUCCGCGCGCGCAGAGUCAGUUAGGGUUCCUAGUUUCUCGCGGGAUUUGUUACCUAAAACCGCGGGAUUAACUCGGGAAACAGUUGGAAACGGAUCCAGACCUCCCCCUUUAUAUAGAUAAAGGGCUACGGCCGAUUAAACCCCCCAACAAUCGAACCAAUACAACUUCUAUCUCGUAUUUAUUUUCAGCACAAUUAGGAGUAGUUCUAGUCUAGUUCUAGUUUAGCCCUAGUUUAGUAUUCCAAUCCCCAAAUUCUCUGCCUCUCCUCGACUCUACGUCGAUUAGAGGAGUCUAGGUCGGCCGGCCCGAGCCUAGACAACUCCUAGGAUCUCUCCUCCCCGACGGGGUCCCUCCCGGGAGCGAGAUCCAGGCGCCGCCGGCGAUCUUUCGCCGCCCCUGCGCACGCGCGGACCGUCCGGUCCUAGAGCGCGGACCGUCCGGCCGUCAGGCAGAGAACCCGAGCUCCUGCACCAGGUCGCGGACCGUCCGGCCCUGUGCCGCGGACCGUCCGCGUCUGACCAGAGAGCAUCGCCGCCUCGCGCCAGGUCGGGGACCGUCCGGCCCCAAGCCGCGGACCGUCCGCGCCUGACCAAAGAGCACCGCCGCUGGUUCUUUUGAGUGAUUGGCGCCUCCAAAAGGUGUCAACAUACCCAAACUUUGAUUAAGAAAGGUUAGAAGGGUAAUGUAAAUUGAUGUGUUUGUGCUACCCCAGAAUCAUUUGAUCAUAUUGUCUUCGAAUGCGUCAUAGCUAAGUUGACUUGGACAAUUCUGCGAACUGUUUUUAAGAUGGGAGUUUUCUGAGACAGGCUUCAGGGCAAGGGUCUCUACCGACUAGAUUAAUCGCGUUUCUUUUUUUGUAGAUUUUGCUGGAGCUCUUUGGACCACUAGGAACAAGAUGACCAUCGAAAAGAGGUUCUCAAAGACAUUAACUGAUAUAGUCUAUGUUGUUUUUUUAACGUUCAAUUAAGAAAAAAAUAGAUUUGAUCUAGUUUUAAGAAAAAACAGGUCUAAAACCUACACAGAGCGCACAAUACAACCUAGACAACAUCCCCACCCUCAUAAAAGUCAUCCAGAGUCAUUGUUGACGAGCUCAACACAAGGGACGACUAUCUCUGACUCCGCAAUACGGGCAACACAUGGCUAAACGAACUUGACGACACCUACACCUAAACACGGGCAAAGGAGGAGGCAGAUCGUGGUGCACCGUCGUUGCUAAGCCGCAACACAUCCACGCGAGGCAACUCUGAUUCUUCACCAACGAGCUUGAUCCUUCGCCCCUCCCGCAGCAAUUGCCCAACCUCCAAAACAAUUCAAUCCACGGGGAAGGGGUUCGCCUCAUGUCAUGGUUGUCGCGCCACAUCCUUGACACAACAGCUUCGACUUCACGUGGCAAAACCCUACAUCCACCGACAUACCAGACGUCGAGAAGUGAAAGCAACAACCGAAGGCGAUAUCGUGACCGAGACGAACUUCAAUAGCGACGCCUUCAGGAAGGAAGUGACGUCUGGAACGCCAUCGUAGCUUGUUCAAUAUGGAUCGAGCUUUUGCCUAAGAAAGACAGUGAUGGACAACUGGGGAAUGUGACACCCUUAACAGGGAAAGCGACGUCGACGAGCGUCACCGUCGACGAGGCUUUCGCCCAAGAAGUCCUUCAACACAUCACCAGGCCAAGGCCCCGGGACAAAGCAUGUAAUCUCUGCCAUCACCGUCGCCCUGACAUCGCGCACAAACCCUUCUAAAGGGGCAACGAAACAUCGUUUGUCACAGCAACUGCAAAGCUGUGUCGGUCGCCACUCCCUCCGGCUAGGCAGACAGAACCAGACAACACCUUGCCGCGUGCGUCACAUUGUUACGCGCCAGAGCCGAUGCCGACAAACGUUGUCAGUCCUGGCACACGUAGCCACCGAAGUCAGCUGCCGCUGGGCACCCUGCCGCCAUCACCACCCUAUGCCAGCCGAGGGAUUUGGCACAAUAGGUCGCUCUAUCUUGCCGCUCUUUAUAAUACACCGCUUCGAGCCGGGGUCGUGAAAAAGGGUCGCUUGAGUCUGUGCGCUGGCCAAAAGAGGUCAAUGUUGCUUUUGACGUACCUGGCAGUGUUGCAAUCUGCCGAUUUUGUCCUUACGGCCGCUCACAACGCCGUCUUCUCCCCCCAUUUCCCUUUCUUCAUCUCUGGACGACGCUUUGCUGUCGACGCGGGAGCCGCCGAGCCCUCAUCCCAGGCGUCGUCGCCGCCGCCGUCACUCGCGGACUCGUGCCUGCCGUCCGCCUUCCCGUUCCUCAGCAACGGCAGCUUCUUCCCCGCAGCUCGACCUCGGCGGCGUUGCGCUUGCACCCCCGGCCUUCUCCUAGUGGCAGUCGGUGGUGGUCUCGGACUUGUACGACGGGCUCGCGCCGUGGGACGACGGAGCAACGACGGGCGCGUGGGACGACAUCGGUGGCCUCGACCUCAGCUGGACACUGCAGGGGAACUGAGUGCCAGCCGCCGUCGCCGUCUUGAGGGGCUCCGGUUUUAGCAGUGCGGCCUCGUCAGGUUCAGUUCAGUUCCUAGGAAUGUAAACCAGCUCACAAUUCUCCUAUAUAUGUCGCCUCCACUAGUUUCUUCUCGUCUUUACUGCGAAUGAAAUGGUGGGGCUGCUAGUUAGAUCAGUGAAUCUUGAUCUGUAGCUGGAGCCAGAGUGUAAGAUCUGUGCAGUGAUUUAUCGUGACAAUAAAAUUAAGUUUGUGUCAAACCGUUUAGUCGCUAGACAAUAAAAUUAACUUUGCUAGCUCAAGCAAAACACCAUGGCCACAGAAGAAUGGUUUCUAUCCAACAGUCAUCAGGUGUCUGAUUUUCUUUUUCUUUUCCCUCUCUCUCACGAGUAGGGGUGGAUAUCGAGCUGGCUCGGCUCGACUCGUUAUGUUAACGAGCUAAAGAUCCAACUCGACUUGACUCGUUUGACAACUCGAGUUGGCUCGUUUAGCUCGCUAGCCAGCUCGAUAAUACCAUGUCUAGUGUCUACGGACGGAUAUAAAAAUAUGUAGCAAAAGAAAAUAUGGAGAUCUAUUUAGAAAAAAAGAAUAGAGUUUGCAACUUAAGAUUCCACACUCAACAAAUAAUAAGAUUAACUAUAGUAGAGUACAAGAUUAACUAUUUUGGAUCCGAGAUUAUUGUGAUUUGACUAAUUAAUUCAACUCGUUUGGCUCGCGAGCCAGCUCGAGCUGGCUCGUUAUCAUAACGAGUUGAAAUACAAGCUCAACUCGUUACCAAUUAUAAACGAGUCGAGUCGAGCGAGUUAACGAGCUACGAGUUUUUCGUCCAGCCUUACUCACGAGUCAUGCCACUAACACACCCAUUAGAUGUCAGAGCGUCGUCCAGAGAUGAAGAAAGGGAAAUGGAGGGAGAAGACGGCGUUGUAAGCGGCCGUAAGGGCAAAAUCGGCAGAUUGCAACGCGGGCCCCACCUGCCAGGUACGCCAAAAGCAAUAUUGACUUCUUUUGGCCAGCGUGUAGACUUAAGCGACCCUUUUUGACGACCCCGACUCGAAACGAUCUAUCAUGAAGAGCGACAAGAUAGAGCGACCCAUUUUGCCAAAUUCCAAACGCCAGCCCAGGCACUGAUCGGCGCCACCGCAGACGGCCAGGCCGAGCGCCCCCGGCCCGCGCCACUCAGCGCCGCCAAGUCUCCAAAAGGAGAGGAGGGGCAGUAGCCGCCACCCUGGUCACCUGUGCAGCAGCCCCGCUGGCGCACCCCGCCAGGCCACUGGAUGCCUCCUCUCCUCUCGUGGCGGCCGAUCCCUCCCCUAGCGUCGAUGACCACACCCUGCACGUCUCCACAAGGCCUGCCAAACGCACAGCCCCACGAAACCGCACUCAGCCGAGCUCCAGCCUCCAGCCCCUGCUCAGGCUGAAAUCGACCAACCACGAGCAACAUCAAGGCGUCAACGUCGAGGGCCGGCUCCGUCUAGCCAUGCCCAGCCCCGGCAGCCGCGCGCCUACGCCGAGCACCUCGCCGCCCUGUCAACCGCGCCAGCAUCGAGCACCUCCUCGGACGUCGCGGCGAACUCCACCCACAGAUCCACCCCAGUCGAGCUUCCCUCGCGGAACUGCCUCUGAUUAGGCUGCGUCCCGGCCAGCCACGAGCCCCCUCGAGGCGACAACUCGCACCACCACGUCAACAAAAGCCCCCCCCCCCCCCCCCCCCCCCCCCCCCCCGCCAUCCCGGCCGACUGCGCAGCCCUGCCGGCAGCGGCGCAACGGGAGAGGGGAGGGAGGGGAGAAUAUUCGACGGCUAGGGUUGCCGCCCGUGUGCAGCAGCGGAUGCAGGGGGCUGCACCAUGUGCAUCGGCUAACAAGAUAAUCUAAUAUGUUGCAACUUUAUGAGAUGGAUGUCACAAAAAAUACUAUAUUAAUGACUGAACUAUCAUUGUCGGGUAAUUUAGUGCAAUUCGUAAAGAUGACAAAAGAUUAAAUAUCUUCAUCCGACAUAUGUGCAACACGAUACCGCUCUCGUCCGCGUCCUAACCCUAGUCGUCUGAUGUAUCUCUCCCGCGCUACCCAUUAGUUGUCGGCUUGUCGUUGUUUGUCUAGCGAUUUCCCUCCAUCUCCUCUAUGGUGCGUCCACGGCCGACAGGCACCCGCAUCCACGCCCAUGCUUUAGAUCAGUUUACGUUAGUGGCUAAUCGGCCAAGUUGCCAACUACAAGGUAUCGGUUGUCUAUCGCUAGCCCACCAACACCACAGUUGGCCGUCUUACUGUCCCUCCUUUGAUCCAUUUUUAGAUCCGUCACUGCUCGUAUGGGAGAGCAACGCGGGGGCCUAAAGUAAAAUAUAGCCUAAAGUGAAAUAUAGUUGCUCUAUUCUUAUUGUAGAAGUAGAAUGUGUUGCUAUUGUAGAAGUAGAAUGUGUUGCUAAAGAAGGUGGAUGGGGUGCGUAUCAUCCAUGUGAAGGACGAGAUUGUUGUCUGGAUGGAGAACUUCAUCCUUUCCGCUUUUAUACAUCUACAAAAUCUAAAUCCUGUAAUAGGCUAAUCUUUUCUCUCUCUCUCUAAAUCUGGAGUUGCCAGUACUGUGUAUACUACCGUACUGGUACUCCUUUCUUAAAGGGAAAAGCUAACGGACGCGCGUGUGUUUGUUUGGCUGUUUGUGCUCGCCUUGUGCGCCGUCCGAUUGUUCACUGUUUGAUUUUGGGAUUCUCGCGCUCUUCACUUUCCAGUUUGUCCUGUCGCUCGUGCGUUGCCAGUGGCCAGUGCUCUGCUCUCUGCCGCCUCUUCACUUUCUCAGUGCGGCUGCCGUCGUCGUUCCCAGGGCGGCUGCCCCGCGCGCGCCCCUGCUGCCUGCUGCUGCGCGCGCCCUUCCCUCCAGUGCGUUCCCAGUGCUGCUGUGCCUGCUGCCGCGCGCGCCCUGCUGCUGCCUGCUGCCGCGCGCGCCCUCCAGUGCUGCUGCCGCGCACGCGAUGAGUUGGAGUCGCGGGCGAGGUGGAUCCGACGAGAUCCAUGGCGGAGGGUGAGGAGGCUCCGACUGGAUCUAUGGCGGGGGGCGAGGUAGCUCCGACGAGGUACAUGGCGCGAGUGGAGGCAGCUGCGAUUCCGACGAGGUCCACGUCGGAGGGCGAGGAGGCCGCGACUGGAUCUAUGGCGGGGGGCGAGUGGGCUGUUGCAGGAUCCAUGGUGGAGGGGAAGGUCCGACGGGAUCCAUGGCUGGGGGUGGUGGAGCUGGCUGCGACAGUAUCUACGGCGGAGGGCGAGGGUGUCCCGACGGGAUCCAUUUUCGCUGUCCGGCGACAGCAACCUGUUGUGAAGCAGGCGGGUCUGGAGUUCCACUGCGCGAAGGUUGUGUCCCGGCAUCUGGUGGCACUGUCGAUCCAGUGAGGGUGCUCUUCAUUUUACUUCAUCUUUCCUGUGCUCGAGUAUAUUUUCCUAGUUCUACUGUUUUUUUGGAUGUUCAGUAUGCAGUGUGUGUUCUUCUGUUUCUAUUAGCAAAGGAACAAAUUAUGCGAUUCUAGUUAAAAUUUGUCCCAGUAUAUUUGAGGAUAGCAUACGUAUUGUUGAAAUUUAUAUAUAGUUAAUGCAUGCAAUUUUGAAAUUGUAAUUUAGCAUUGAAAUGUAUGUGCGAUGUCUGUGUCUUGGCUUAGAUGAAUGAGUGUGAGAUGUCUGUGCGAACUGUGAUGUGGUUCUUUUUAUAAAUAAAGGAAAUCUAGGUUGCUGCCUGGAUAUAGCAUAGCCUCUGUCCCUUAGGAGUUUUUUUGUUUGGAGCAGGUUCCAUUAUAUCCAGGAUUUGCAUCAUUGAUAAUCUGUUUUGUGUUUAUUGUUUGUGUAAAUAAUCUAAGUUAGCUAAGUAUAGUUGUUUGGAGUUACAAAAUGUAUUUUCUUAGUAUAUUUAGUUCUUGGAAAUUGUUUAUUUAUAUUCAGUUUUUUAUUUACAAUUUUUUUUGUUAUUUUUGCAGGGCAUCAUUUCCUCUCCUAUGGUUAAGUUGAUUGAAACUUUUGCUGUUUUUUGCAAGUCUCAGGUAGUUUGUUCUUUUUUAUCUUCUUUUUUUUCUGUACAAGUUCUCAAUUGUAUAUUUUUUAUAUGCAGUUUUUUUCAUGUGAUUUUUGUUUAUUUUUUUGUUACUUAAUUUUGUUUUUUAUUUUUUAUCUCUAGAGAGCUGCUUAUAGGGAGAAGGUGUUAAUUGAAGCAGAGAAACAAUUUCUGCAUGAUUUCACUUUUUUCAAGGAAAAGUUAUUAGUUGAUUUUGGCCAAAUAGUGGAUGUCGAAUGCAUUGAUAGUACUUGCCAAGUUCUGUGUGACAAGGUCAGGCGUUGUUGUUCAAUUUGCAAGUCAAGGUGUACUGAAGCUAUCAUCGAUUCUCUGAAAAUUUUGGCUGAAGCAAUGACUAUUAAGCAUCAGAAGUUUUUGAAUUCCAACAACCUUCUGGCGAAAGUGAAAGGGAAUUAGGCUUACACCUAGUUCCUAGAUAAUUUUGGUGGUUGAAUUGCCCAACACAAAUCUUUGGACUAACUAGUUUGCCUAAGUGUAUAGAUUAUGCAGGUGUAAAAAGGUUCACACUCAGCCAAUAAAAAGACCAAGUGUUGGAUUCAACAAAAGAGCAAAGGGGCAACCGAAGGCACCCCUGGUCUGGUGCACCGGACUGUCCGGUGUGCCACCGGACAUGUCCGGUGUGCCAGGGGGACUCAGACUCAAACUCGCUACCUUCGGGAAUUUCCGGAGGCGACUCCGCUAUAAUUCACCGGACUGUCCGGUGUACACCGGACAGUGUCCGGUGCGCCAUGGGAGGUCGGCCUCAGGAACUCGCCAGCCUCGGACUUUAAUUCAAGCCGCUCCGCUAUAAUUCACCGGACUGUCCGGUGUGCACCGGACUGUCCGGUGAACCACGGAGCAACGGCUACUUCCGCGCCAACGGUCACCUGCAGGCGCAUUCAAUGCGCGCCAGUGGCGCGCAGUCGUCAGGCACGCCCAUUCUGGUGCACCGGACAAUGAACAGUUCAUGUCCGGUGUGCACCGGACACCCAGGCGGGCCCACAAGUCAGAAGCUUCAACGGUCGAAUCCAACGGCAGUGAUGACGUGGCAGGGGGCACCGGACUGUCCGGUGUGCACCGGACUGUCCGGUGCGCCAUCGAACAGAUAGGAUUCCCAACGGCCACAUUUGGUGGUUGGGGCUAUAAAUACCCCAACCACCCCACCAUUCAUUGCAUCCAAGUUUUCCACUUCCCAUCUACUACAAGAGCUCUAGCAUUCAAUACUAGACACACCAAAUAGAUCAAAUCCUCUCCAAUUCCCACACAACUCCAUAGUGACUAGAGAGAGUGAUUUGCUUGUGUUCUUUCGAGCUCUUGCACUUGGAUUGCUUUCUUUCUUCUUGUACUCUUUCAUUGUGAUCAAACAUUCACUUGUAAUCGAAGCAAGAGGCACCAAUUGUGUGGUGGCCCUUGCGGGAACUUUGUGUUCCAAGUGGUUGAGAAAAGAAAGCUCACUCGAUCCGUGGAUCGUUUGAGAGAGGGAAGGGUUGAAAGAGACCCGGCCUUUGUGGCCUCCUCAACGGGGAGUAGGUUUGCAAGAACCGAACCUCGGUAAAACAAAUCUCCGUGUCUCACUUGUUCAUUUGUUUGGGAUUUGUUUUGCGCCCUCUCUCGCGGACUCAUUUCUUUAUUACUAACGCUAACUCCGGCUUGUAGUUGUGUUUAUAUUUGUAAAUUUCAGUUUCGCCCUAUUCACCCCCCCCCUCUAGGCGACUUUCAAUUGGUAUCAGAGCCCGGUGCUUCAUUAGAGCCUAACCGCUCGAAGUGAUGUCGGGAGAACACGCCAAGAAGGAGAUAGAGACCGGCGAAAAGCCCACUACAAGCCAAGGGAGCACUUCAUCGGAAGAGUCCCGCACCAAAAGGAGGGAGAAGAAGAAGAGCUCCUCCAACAAAGGGAAGGAGAAAAAAUCUUCUUCUCACCACAAAGAGAAGAAGGAAAAAUCUUCUUCCCACAAGCCGCAUCGGAAAGGCGACAAGCACAAGAGGAUGAGGAAAGUGGUCUACUACGAGACCGACACUUCAUCAACAUCGUCCUCCGACUCCGAUGCGCCCUCCGUCACUUCUAAGCGCCAAGAGCGCAAGAAGUAUAGUAAGAUCCCCCUACGCUACCCUCGCAUUUCCAAACAUACACCUUUACUUUCCGUCCCAUUAGGCAAACCACCAACUUUUGAUGGUGAAGAUUACGCUAGGUGGAGCGACUUAAUGCGAUUUCAUCUAACCUCGCUCCACAAAAGUAUAUGGGAUGUUGUUGAGUUUGGUGCACAGGUACCGUCGGUAGGGGAUGAGGACUAUGAUGAGGAUGAGGUGGCCCAAAUCGAGCACUUCAACUCUCAAGCAACAACAAUACUCCUCGCCUCUCUAAGUAAAGAGGAGUAUAACAAAGUUCAAGGGUUGAAGAGCGCCAAGGAGAUUUGGGAUGUGCUCAAAACCGCGCACGAGGGAGACGAGCUCACCAAGAUCACCAAGAGGGAAACGAUCGAGGGGGAGCUCGGUCGGUUCCGGCUUCACAAAGGGGAGGAGCCACAACACAUGUACAACCGGCUCAAGACUUUGGUGAACCAAGUGCGCAACCUCGGGAGCAAGAAGUGGGAUGACCACGAAGUGGUAAAUGUUAUUUUAAGAUCUCUCAUUUUUCUUAAUCCCACUCAAGUUCAAUUGAUUCGUGGUAAUCCUAGAUAUACUAAAAUGACCCCCGAGGAAGUUAUCGGGCAUUUUGUAAGUUUUGAGUGCAUGAUAGAAGGCUCGAGGAAAAUCAACGAGCUUGGCGACCCAUCCGAAGCCCAACCCGUUGCAUUCAAGGCAACGGAGGAAAAGAAGGAGGUGUCUACACCAAGUAGACAACCAAUAGACGCCUCCAAGCUCGACAAUGAGGAAAUGGCGCUCGUCAUCAAGAGCUUCCGCCAAAUCCUCAAGCAAAGGAGAGGGAAAGACUACAAGUCCCGCUCCAAGAAAGUGUGCUACAAGUGUGGUAAGCCCGGUCAUUUUAUUGCUAAAUGUCCUAUAUCAAGUGACAGUGACCGAGGGGACGACAAGAAGGGAAGAAGAAAGGAGAAGAAAAGGUACUACAAGAAGAAGGGCGGCGAUGCCCAUGUUUGUCGGGAAUGGGAUUCCGACGAGAGCUCAAGCGACUCCUCCGACGACGAGGACGCCGCCAACAUCGCCGUCACCAAGGGACUUCUCUUCCCCAACGUCGGCCACAAGUGCCUCAUGGCAAAGGACGGCAAAAAGAAGAAGGUUAAAUCCAACUCCUCCACUAAAUAUGAGUCUUCUAGUGAUGAUAAUGCUAGUAGUGAGGAAGAUAAUUUGCGUACUCUUUUUGCCAACCUUAAUAUGGAACAAAAGGAGAAAUUAAAUGAACUAAUUAGUGCCAUCCAUGAGAAGGAUGAACUCUUGGACUCCCAAGAGGACUUCCUAAUCAAGGAAAAUAAAAAACAUGUUAAGGUUAAAAAUGCUUACGCUCUACAAGUUGAAAAAUGUGAAAAAUUGUCUAGUGAGCUAAGCACUUGCCAUGAGAUUAUUGACAACCUUAGGAAUGAAAAUGCUAGUUUGAAUGCUAAGGUUGAUUCACAUGUUUGUGAUGUUUCAAUUCCCAAUCUUAGAAAUGAUAAUGUUGAUUUGCUUGCUAAGAUUGAUGAAUUGAAUGUAUCUCUUGCUAGCCUUAGAUUAGAGAAUGAAAAUUUGAUUGCUAAGGCUAAAGAUUUUGAUGUUUGCAAAGUUACAAUUGCCGAUCUUAGAGAUAAGAAUGAUAUACUUCGUGCUAAGAUUGUAGAACUUAACUCUUGCAAACCAUCUACAUCUACCAUUGAGCAUGUCACUAUUUGUACUAGAUGUAGAAAUAUUGAUAUUGAUGCUAUUCAUGAUCAUAUAGCAAAACUAGAUGCUAAAAUUGCCGAGCACAACUUGGAAAAUGAAAAAUUUAAAUUUGCUCGUAGCAUGCUUUAUAAUGGGAGACGCCCAGGCAUUAAGGAUGGCAUUGGCUUCCAAAGGGGAGACAAUGUCAAAAUUAGUGCCCCUCCUAAGAGAUUGUCCAACUUUGUUAAGGGCAAGGCUCCCGUGCCUCAGGAUAACGAGGGUUACAUUUUAUACCCUGCCGGUUAUCCCGAGGACAAAAUUAGGAAAGUUCAUUCUAGGAAGUCUCACUCUGGCCCUAAUCAUGCUUUUAUGUAUAAGGGUGAGACAUCUAGUUCUAGGCAACCAACCCGUGCCAAGUUGCCUAAGAAGAAGAUUCCCAAUGCAUCAAAUGAACAUAACAUUUCAUUUAAGACUUUUGAUGCAUCAUAUGUUUUGACUAACAAAUCCGGCAAGGUCGUUGCCAAGAUUGUUGGGGGCAAACACAAGGGGUCAAAGACUUGUGUUUGGGUACCCAAAGUUCUUGUUUCUAAUGCCAAAGGACCCAAAACAGUUUGGGUACCUAAAGUCAAGAACUAAAUUUGUUUUGUAGGUUUAUGCAUCCGGGGGCUCAAGUUGGAUACUCGACAGCGGGUGCACAAACCACAUGACCGGGGAGAAAAGGAUGUUCUCCUCAUAUGAGAAAAACCAAGAUCCCCAACGAGCUAUCACAUUCGGGGAUGGAAAUCAAGGUUUGGUCAAAGGUCUUGGUAAAAUUGCUAUAUCUCCUGACCAUUCUAUUUCCAAUGUUUUUCUUGUUGAUUCAUUAGAUUACAACUUGCUUUCCGUUUCCCAAUUAUGUCAAAUGGGCUACAACUGUCUUUUUACUGAUAUAGGUGUCACUGUCUUUAGAAGAAGUGAUGAUUCAAUAGCAUUUAAGGGAGUGUUAGAGGGUCAGCUAUACUUGGUAGAUUUUGAUAGAGCUGAACUCGACACUUGUUUAAUUGCUAAGACUAACAUGGGUUGGCUCUGGCACCGCCGACUAGCCCAUGUUGGGAUGAAGAAUCUUCACAAGCUUCUAAAGGGAGAACACAUUUUAGGAUUAACAAAUGUUCAUUUUGAGAAAGACAGGAUUUGUAGCGCAUGUCAAGCAAGGAAGCAAGUUGGCACUCAUCAUCCACACAAGAACAUAAUGACGACUGACAGGCCACUGGAGCUCCUACACAUGGAUCUAUUCGGCCCGAUCGCUUACAUAAGCAUCGGCGGGAGUAAGUACUGUCUAGUUAUUGUGGAUGAUUAUUCUCGCUUCACUUGGGUAUUCUUUUUACAGGAAAAAUCUCAAACCCAAGAGACCUUAAAGGGAUUCUUGAGACGGGCUCAAAAUGAGUUCGCCUUAAGGAUCAAGAAAAUAAGAAGCGACAACGGAACGGAGUUCAAGAACUCUCAAAUUGAAGGCUUUCUUGAGGAGGAGGGCAUCAAGCAUGAGUUCUCUUCUCCCUACACACCUCAACAAAAUGGUGUAGUGGAGAGGAAGAAUCGAACUCUAUUAGACAUGGCAAGAACCAUGCUUGAUGAGUACAAAACAUCGGAUCGGUUUUGGGCCGAGGCGGUCAACACCGCUUGCUAUGCCAUCAACCGGUUAUAUCUACACCGAAUCCUCAAGAAGACAUCAUAUGAACUCCUAACCGGUAAAAAGCCCAACAUUUCAUAUUUUAGAGUUUUUGGUAGCAAAUGCUUUAUUCUUGUCAAAAGAGGAAGAAAAUCUAAAUUUGCUCCUAAAACUGUAGAAGGUUUUUUACUUGGUUAUGACUCAAACACAAGGGCAUAUAGGGUCUUUAACAAGUCCACUGGACUAGUUGAAGUCUCAUGUGACGUUGUGUUUGAUGAAACUAACGGCUCUCAAGUAGAGCAAGUUGAUCUUGAUGAAAUAGGUGAAGAACAGGCUCCAUGCAUCGCACUAAGAAACAUGUCCAUUGGGGAUGUGUGUCCUAAGGAAUCCGAAGAGCCUACAAAUGCACAAGAUCAACCAUCCUCCUCCAUACAAGCAUCUCCACCAACACAAAAUGAGGAUGAAGCUCAAGUUGAUGAAGAAGAAGGUCAAUCAAAUGAGCCACCUCAAGAUGACGGCAAUGAUCAAGGGGGAGAUACAAAUGAGGAAGACAAGGAGGAUGAAGAGCAAAGGCCGCCACACCCAAGAGUCCACCAAGCAAUCCAAAGAGAUCACCCCGUCGACACCAUCCUCGGCGACAUUCAUAAGGGGGUAACUACUCGAUCUCGUGUUGCACAUUUUUGUGAACAUUACUCGUUUGUUUCCUCUAUUGAGCCACACAAGGUAGAGGAAGCACUUCAAGAUUCGGAUUGGGUGGUGGCGAUGCAAGAGGAGCUCAACAACUUCACUAGGAAUGAGGUAUGGCAUUUAGUUCCACGUCCUAAUCAAAAUGUUGUAGGAACCAAAUGGGUCUUCCGCAACAAGCAAGACGAGCAUGGUGUGGUGACAAGGAACAAAGCUCGACUUGUGGCCAAGGGAUACUCCCAAGUCGAAGGUUUGGAUUUCGGUGAAACCUAUGCACCCGUAGCUAGGCUUGAGUCAAUUCGCAUUUUAUUAGCCUAUGCUACUUACCAUGGCUUUAAGCUUUAUCAAAUGGACGUGAAAAGUGCCUUCCUCAAUGGACCAAUCAAGGAAGAGGUCUAUGUUGAGCAACCUCCCGGCUUUGAAGACAGUAAGUAUCCUAAUCAUGUCUAUAAGCUCUCUAAGGCGCUUUAUGGGCUCAAGCAAGCCCCAAGAGCAUGGUAUGAAUGCCUUAGAGAUUUUCUUAUUGCAAAUGGAUUCAAAGUCGGAAAAGCCGAUCCUACACUCUUUACUAAAACUCUUGAAAAUGACUUGUUUGUAUGCCAAAUUUAUGUUGAUGAUAUUAUAUUUGGGUCUACUAACGAGUCCACUUGUGAAGAGUUUAGUAGGAUCAUGACACAGAAGUUUGAGAUGUCUAUGAUGGGGGAGUUGAAGUAUUUUCUAGGAUUCCAAGUAAAGCAACUCCAAGAGGGCACGUUCAUCAGCCAAACAAAGUACACUCAAGACAUUCUAACCAAGUUUGGGAUGAAGGAUGCCAAACCCAUCAAGACACCCAUGGGAACUAAUGGGCAUCUCGACCUCGACACGGGAGGUAAGUCCGUGGAUCAAAAGGUAUACCGGUCGAUGAUUGGUUCAUUGCUUUAUUUAUGUGCAUCUCGACCGGAUAUAAUGCUUUCCGUAUGCAUGUGUGCAAGAUUCCAAGCCGACCCUAAGGAAGCUCACCUUACGGCCGUAAAACGAAUCUUGAGAUAUUUGGCUUAUACUCCUAAGUUUGGGCUUUGGUAUCCCAGGGGAUCCACAUUCGAUUUAAUUGGUUAUUCGGAUGCCGAUUGGGCGGGGUGCAAAAUCAACAGGAAGAGCACAUCGGGGACUUGCCAGUUCUUGGGAAGAUCCUUGGUGUCUUGGGCUUCAAAGAAGCAAAAUUCGGUCGCUCUUUCCACCGCCGAAGCCGAGUACAUUGCCGCAGGUCAUUGUUGCGCGCAAUUGCUUUGGAUGAGGCAAACCCUGCGGGACUACGGUUACAAAUUAACCAAAGUCCCUUUGCUAUGUGACAAUGAGAGUGCAAUCAAAAUGGCCGACAAUCCCGUCGAGCAUAGCCGCACUAAACACAUAGCCAUUCGGUAUCACUUUUUGAGGGAUCACCAACAAAAGGGAGAUAUCGAGAUUUCAUACAUUAAUACUAAAGAUCAAUUAGCCGAUAUCUUUACCAAGCCUCUUGAUGAACAAUCUUUUAACAAACUUAGGCAUGAGCUCAAUAUUCUUGAUUCGCGCAAUUUCUUUUGCUAAGAUUGCACACAUUGUUCUUUUAUAUACCUUUAAUCAUGUCUCUUUUAUAUGCUAUGACUAAUGUGUUUUCAAGUCUAUUUCAAACCAAGUCAUAGGUAUAUUGAAAGGAAAUUGGAGUCUUCGGCGAAGACAAAAAGGCUUCCACUCCGUAACUCAACCUUCGCCGUCGCUACUUACCACUCUCCAUCCUUAGGGGAGAAAGCAAAAGGACUUCGUCUUUGGUAUAAUCUUAACUCAUUUGUUUAUGACCAAAGGGGAAGAAACUACUUCGAGGGCUCUAAUGAUUCCGUUUUUGGCGAUUCAUGCCAAAAAGGGGGAGAAAGGAGCCCAAAGCAAAAGGACCGCACCACCACCCACCACCUAAUUCAAAAACUUAGUGCUUUCCAAAAGUAUUUUUCAAUUGGUAUCCUAUUGUGUUCAAAAGGAAAAGAAAAUUAGGUUUUCAAAAAUGUAUAUCAAAACCCUCUUGAACACUAAGAGGUGGAUCUCCUUUAGGGGGAGUUUUGUUUAGUCAAAAGAAAAGCAUUUGAGACAGGGGGAGAAAAUUUCAAAUCUUGAAAAUGCUUUGCAAAAAUCUUAUUCAUUUACCUUUGACUAUUUGCAAAAGAUCUUCGAAAUGAAUUUACAAAAAGAAUUUGCAAAAAAAAAACAAAACAUGUGGUGCAAACGUGGUCCAAAAUACUAAAUAAGAAAGAAACAUUCCAUGCAUAUCUUGUAAGUAGUUAUAUUGGCUUAAUUCCAAGCAACCUUUACACUUACAUUAUGCAAACUAGUUCAAUUAUGCACUUCUCUAUUUGCUUUGGUUUGUGUUGGCAUCAAUCACCAAAAAGGGGGAGAUUGAAAGGGAAUUAGGCUUACACCUAGUUCCUAGAUAAUUUUGGUGGUUGAAUUGCCCAACACAAAUCUUUGGACUAACUAGUUUGCCUAAGUGUAUAGAUUAUGCAGGUGUAAAAAGGUUCACACUCAGCCAAUAAAAAGACCAAGUGUUGGAUUCAACAAAAGAGCAAAGGGGCAACCGAAGGCACCCCUGGUCUGGUGCACCGGACUGUCCGGUGUGCCACCGGACAUGUCCGGUGUGCCAGGGGGACUCAGACUCAAACUCGCUACCUUCGGGAAUUUCCGGAGGCGACUCCGCUAUAAUUCACCGGACUGUCCGGUGUACACCGGACAGUGUCCGGUGCGCCAUGGGAGGUCGGCCUCAGGAACUCGCCAGCCUCGGACUUUAAUUCAAGCCGCUCCGCUAUAAUUCACCGGACUGUCCGGUGUGCACCGGACUGUCCGGUGAACCACGGAGCAACAGCUACUUCCGCGCCAACGGUCACCUGCAGGCGCAUUCAAUGCGCGCCAGUGGCGCACAGUCGUCAGGCACGCCCAUUCUGGUGCACCGGACAAUGAACAGUUCAUGUCCGGUGUGCACCGGACACCCAGGCGGGCCCACAAGUCAGAAGCUUCAACGGUCGAAUCCAACGGCAGUGAUGACGUGGCAGGGGGCACCGGACUGUCCGGUGUGCACCGGACUGUCCGGUGCGCCAUCGAACAGAUAGGAUUCCCAACGGCCACAUUUGGUGGUUGGGGCUAUAAAUACCCCAACCACCCCACCAUUCAUUGCAUCCAAGUUUUCCACUUCCCAUCUACUACAAGAGCUCUAGCAUUCAAUACUAGACACACCAAAUAGAUCAAAUCCUCUCCAAUUCCCACACAACUCCAUAGUGACUAGAGAGAGUGAUUUGCUUGUGUUCUUUCGAGCUCUUGCACUUGGAUUGCUUUCUUUCUUCUUGUACUCUUUCAUUGUGAUCAAACAUUCACUUGUAAUCGAAGCAAGAGGCACCAAUUGUGUGGUGGCCCUUGCGGGAACUUUGUGUUCCAAGUGGUUGAGAAAAGAAAGCUCACUCGAUCCGUGGAUCGUUUGAGAGAGGGAAGGGUUGAAAGAGACCCGGCCUUUGUGGCCUCCUCAACGGGGAGUAGGUUUGCAAGAACCGAACCUCGGUAAAACAAAUCUCCGUGUCUCACUUGUUCAUUUGUUUGGGAUUUGUUUUGCGCCCUCUCUCGCGGACUCAUUUCUUUAUUACUAACGCUAACUCCGGCUUGUAGUUGUGUUUAUAUUUGUAAAUUUCAGUUUCGCCCUAUUCACCCCCCCCCCUCUAGGCGACUUUCAGAAAGAUAUGGAUAUUAAGUCAGAUGAGAAAGCUACCAAAUUUGAUACCAAUGUGCAGCCAGUUGAUGUUAAGUCGAAUGAGAAAGGGGCUGGUGUGGGCAUUGUUGAGGCUUCUCAUGGAAAAGCUCAUGUGGUUAUUACAAAUCCCCUGAUAACAGUGCCCAUACAGUUGGAGACACCAAUCGUUAAUAGGCUGGAUGGAAAUAAUGGAACAUCUUUGAAUCCACCAGCGGGUUAGUGCUUUUUAAAGUCUGUUUUAAUGUUUUUUGUUUUCCUUUUUUGCAUUUUGUACUUCAUUGUGUUUGCUCAAUGCAUUUUUUAUUCUAUGUGCUACCUAUGUGGGCAUGUCUGGUGUCGGCGUUUCGAGACCGGGGGUCCCUGGGCCGACGAGUGAAUGUCGCCGCGUGCCCCAGCCCAGAUGGGUCGAGCGCGAGGGCGAGCGCGAAGGGGGGAGAGCGAGGCGGCCGGAGACCGGCGUGAGAGAGGUGGGAAUCCCGCGGCCUUCGUGUUCGUCCCGCGCCCAGGUCGGGUGCGCUUGCAGUAGGGGGUUACAAGCGUCCACGCGGGAGAGGGAGCGAGCGGCCCCAAGCGAGCGCAUGUCUCGUCCUCGUCCCCGCGCGGCCAACCCUCUCUAAGAGGGCCCUGGUCCUUCCUUUUAUAGGCAUAAGGAGAGGAUCCAGGUGUACAAUGGGGGUGUAGCAGAGUGCUACGUGUCUAGCGGAGGAGAGCUGAGAGCACCUAGAGGGGGGGGGGGUGAAUAGGUGAUCCUGUAAAAACUUCAAACUUAAGCCACAAAAACUUGUUAAGUGUUAGCACGAUUAUUGCCAAGUGGCUAAGGUGAAGUCUCAACAGUCUCAACAAAACACAGUACCACAAGAGAAUCAAGCACAGAGUGACACAGUGGUUUUAUCCCGUGGUUCGGCCAAGACCAACGCUUGCCUACUCCACGUUGUGGCGUCCCAACGGACGAGGGUUGCAAUCAACCCCUCUCAAGCGGUCCAAAGACCCACUUGAAUACCACGGUGUUUUGUUUUCCUUUCACUAUCCCGUUUGCAAGGAAUCUCCACAAAUUGGAGUCUCUUGCCCUUACAAGUAUAUGAUCACAAAUGAAACACAGAGUAAGGGAGGGAAGCAACACACACAAAUCCACAGCAAAAGCGCACACACACGGCCAAGAAUCGAGCUCACAAGACUAUCUCAGAGUUCUCACUUAGAACAGAGCUCGAAUCACUUAGAAACACAAACGAAUGCGCAGAGACUUAGUGUGGAUGAUCAAGAAUGCUCAAAGGUUGCUUGUGUAUCUCCUCCAUGCGCCUAGGGGCUCCUUUUAUAGCCCCAAGGCAGCUAGGAGCCGUUGAGAGCAAAUCCGGAAGGCCAUCCUUGCCUUCUGUCGUCGGGGGCACCGGACAGUCCGGUGCACACCGGACACUGUCCGGUGCCCGAUUUGUUUCCUUAAACGGCGAAGACGACCGUUGCAGACCGUUGGCAGAUCUGGCGCUGUUGGCGCACCGGACAUGUCCGGUGCACACCGGACAGUCCGGUGCCGUCUUCCGACCGUUGGCUCGGCCACGUGUCCCGCGCGGAUUGCGCGGCCGACCGUUGGCCCUGGCCGACCGUUGGCUCACCGGACAGUCCGGUGCACACCGGACAGUCCGGUGAAUUUUAGCCGUACGCCGCCGGCCAAUUUCCCGAGAGCGGCCAGUUCGAGUCGCGCCAGCCUGGCGCACCGGACACUGUCCGGUGCACACCGGACAGUCCGGUGCUCCAGACCGAGCUGGGUCUUGGCAGCACACAGCCAAGUCCCUUCUCCUUUUCUCUAUUCUUCUUCUUUCUGUUUCUAACACUUAGACAAAUAUAUUAGUACUUAAAACCAAUGUACUAAGGCUUAGAAACAUACCUUUACUUCAUGAUUUUCACCUUGUUCAUCCAUGUACAUAAAUUCCCAAUUAAGCACAUGUGUUGGCACUCAAUCACCAAAAUACAUAGAAAUGGCCCAAGGGCACAUUUCCCUUUCAAUCUCCCCCUUUUUGGUGAUUUAUGCCAACACAACAUAAAGCAACUAGAACAAGUGCAAACUCACUUCAAAUAAAAUAGAUUUAAGUUUUAUUCAAUUUUGGCAUAUAUGGAUCAUCCUUUGCCACCACUUGGUUUGUUUUUGCAAAUCAAACUCAAAUCUCUAUCUCUAAGUCAAACACACAUGUUGAAGUAUAAAGAGAGUCAUUCCAAAAGAGAUUGAUCAAAGAUUUCAAAAACUCCCCCUAUUUCCCAUAAUCAACACUUCUCCCCACAAGAAGCCAACUUUUGACAAUAGAGACAAUAAGAGACAAUAAAAGCUUUUGACAAAACAAAAACUCUAUUCUACUAUUUUCAAAAUCUCUCAAGUGGUAGCUGAUCCAUUUAUCACUUUGGCCUUUAUUUUCUCCCCCUUUGGCAUCAAGCACCAAAACGGGAUCAAUCUUGGCCCGUUAACCCCAUUGCCUCACCAAAGUCUUCAAUUAAGAGCAAAUGGCAAUAAGAUUUCAUGAGAUGAACUUGGAAUUAGUUACCCUCUCAUCGGAGUGCAGUGGAAGUCUUUCAUGGUCCAAGUUCACCUUUUCCCUUUCAAUCCUCCUUCGAGACUAAAUUAUCAAACUCAAGCACAAGGUUAGUCUCAAAGGGUCAAGUUGUAACACAUCUCCCCCUAAACAUGUGCAUCACUUUGCAACGGACUUGUGAGGUCCAGAGAGUGUUGGUACAACUUGAGCACCACAAUAAGCAACAAAAUGCAGAAUGAACCUGAUCAAAUGCAUAAACACAUGUAUGCUACAAUUCAAUCCAAGUUCCGCGAAUCUAAGACAUUUAGCUCACUACGCAGCCUGCAAAAGGUCUUCUCAUCUAGAGGCUUGGUAAAGAUAUCGGCUAGCUGGUUCUCGGUGCUAACAUGAAACACUUCGAUAUCUCCCUUUUGCUGGUGGUCUCUCAAAAAGUGAUGCCGGAUGUCUAUGUGCUUUGUGCGGCUGUGCUCAACAGGAUUCUCCGCCAUGCGGAUAGCACUCUCAUUGUCACAUAGGAGUGGGACUUUGCUCAGAUUGUAGCCAAAGUCCCUGAGGGUUUGCCUCAUCCAGAGUAGUUGCGCGCAACACUGUCCUGCGGCAACAUACUCGGCCUCAGCGGUGGAUAGGGCAACGGAAGUUUGUUUCUUAGAGUUCCAUGACACCAGGGACCUUCCUAAGAAUUGGCACGUCCCCGAUGUACUCUUCCUAUCGACCUUACAUCCAGCAUAGUCGGAGUCUGAGUAUCCAACUAAGUCAAAGGUAGACCCCUUUGGAUACCAGAGCCCGAAGCAAGGCAUAGCAACCAAAUAUCUAAGAAUUCGCUUCACCGCCACUAAGUGACACUCCUUAGGAUCGGAUUGAAAUCUAGCACACAUGCAUACGCUAAGCAUAAUAUCCGGUCUACUAGCACAUAAGUAAAGCAAAGAACCUAUCAUUGACCGGUAUGCUUUUUGAUCAACGGACUUACCUCCUUUGUUGAGGUCGGUGUGUCCGUCGGUCCCCAUCGGAGUCUUUGCGGGCUUGGCGUCCUUCAUCCCAAACCGCUUUAGCAGAUCUUGCGUGUACUUCGUUUGGGAGAUGAAGGUGCCGUCCUUGAGUUGCUUCACUUGGAACCCAAGGAAGUAGUUCAACUCGCCCAUCAUCGACAUCUCGAAUUUCUGCGUCAUCACCCUGCUAAACUCUUCACAAGACUUUUGGUUAGUAGAACCAAAUAUUAUGUCAUCGACAUAAAUUUGGCACACAAACAAAUCACCAUUACAAGUCUUAGUAAAAAGAGUUGGAUCGGCUUUCCCAACCUUGAAAGCAUUAGCAAUUAAGAAAUCUCUAAGGCAUUCAUACCAUGCUCUUGGGGCUUGCUUAAGUCCAUAGAGCGCCUUAGAGAGCUUACACACAUGGUCGGGGUACCGUUCAUCCUCGAAGCCAGGGGGUUGCUCCACGUACACCUCCUCCUUGAUUGGCCCGUUGAGGAAGGCGCUCUUCACAUCCAUUUGAAACAACCUGAAAGAAUGGUGAGCGGCAUAUGCUAGCAAGAUACGAAUUGAUUCUAGCCUAGCCACAGGAGCAAAAGUCUCCUCGAAAUCCAAACCUGCGACUUGGGCAUAACCUUUUGCCACAAGUCGAGCCUUGUUCCUCGUCACCACCCCGUGCUCGUCCUGUUUGUUGCGGAACACCCACUUGGUUCCCACAACAUUUUGCUUCGGACGAGGCACCAGUGUCCAAACUUCAUUGCGCUUGAAGUUGUUUAACUCCUCUUGCAUGGCCAACACCCAGUCCGGAUCUAGCAAGGCCUCUUCUACCCUGAAAGGCUCAAUAGAAGAGACAAAGGAGUAAUGCUCACAAAAAUUAACUAAUCGAGAUCGAGUAGUUACUCCCUUGCUAAUGUCACCCAGAAUUUGGUCGACGGGAUGAUCCCUUUGAAUCAUCGCUCGAACUUGGGUUGGAGGUGCCGGUUGCACUUCUUCCUCCAUCACUUGAUUAUCUUGUGCUCCCCCUUGAUCAAGCGCCUCCACUUGAGGUACCUGUUCGUCAUCUUUGGUUGGGGGAUGCACCAUAGUUGAGGAAGAAGGUUGAUCUCGUUCAUCUUGUUCCUGUGGCCGUACUUCUCCAAUCGCCAUGGUCCGUAUAGCGGCCGUCGGAACAUCUUCUUCAUCUACAUCAUCACAAUCAACAACUUGCUCUCUUGGAGAGCCAUUAGUCUCAUCAAAUACAACGUCGCUAGAGACUUCAACCAAACCCGAUGAUUUGUUGAAGACUCUAUACGCCUUUGUAUUUGAGUCAUAACCUAAUAAAAACCCUUCUACAGCUUUGGGAGCAAACUUAGAAUUUCUACCCUUCUUUACUAGAAUGUAGCAUUUACUCCCAAAUACACGAAAGUACGAUACAUUGGGUUUGUUACCGGUUAGCAGCUCAUACGACGUCUUCUUGAGGAGGCGAUGAAGGUAGACCCUGUUGAUGGCGUGGCACGCCGUGUUCACGGCUUCCGUCCAAAAGCACUCGGGGGUCUUGAACUCUCCUAGCAUCGUCCUCGCCAUGUCGAUGAGCGUCCUGUUCUUCCUCUCUACCACACCAUUUUGCUGUGGUGUGUAGGGAGCGGAGAACUCGUGUUUGAUCCCUUCCUCUUCAAGGAACUCCUCAACUUGAAGGUUCUUGAACUCGGACCCGUUGUCGCUUCUUAUCUUUUUCACUUUGAGCUCAAACUCAUUUUGAGCUCUCCUGAGGAAGCGUUUGAGGGUCCCUUGGGUUUAGACUUAUCCUGCAAAAAGAACACCCAAGUGAAGCGGGAAAAAUCAUCAACAAUAACUAAACCAUACUUACUUCCCCCUAUGCUUAGAUAGGCGACGGGUCCGAAGAGAUCCAUAUGCAGCAGCUCCAGGGGUCUUGAAGUGGUCAUCACAUUCUUGCUGUGAUGCGCUCCUCCCACCUGUUUCCCUGCUUGACAAGCUGCACAAGGUCUAUCUUUUUCGAAAUGAACAUUGGUUAGACCUAUCACAUGUUCUCCCUUUAGAAGCUUGUGGAGGUUCUUCAUCCCCACAUGUGCUAAGCGGCGAUGCCACAGCCAGCCCAUGCAAGUCUUAGCCAUUAAGCAUGCAUCUAGACCGGCCUCUUCUUUUGCAAAAUCAACUAAAUAAAGUUUGCCGUCUAAUACACCCUUAAAAGCUAGUGAACCAUCACUUCUUCUAAAGACAGACACAUCUAUAUUUGUAAACAAACAAUUAUAUCCCAUUUGACAUAAUUGACUGACAGAUAGCAAAUUAUAUCCAAGACUCUCCACUAAGAAUACAUUUGAUAUAGAAUGCUCAUUUGAAAUUGCAAUUUUACCUAGCCCUUUUACCUUGCCUUGAUUCCCAUCACCGAAUAUAAUUGAAUCUUGGGAAUCCUUAUUUUUGACGUAGGAGGUGAACAUCUUCUUCUCCCCCGUCAUAUGGUUUGUGCAUCCGCUGUCAAUAAUCCAGCUUGAACCCCCGGAUGCAUAAACCUGCAAGGCAAAUUUAGGCUUGGGUCUUAGGUACCCAACUCAUGUUGGGUCCUACAAGGUUAGUGCAAAUAUCCUUAGGGACCCAAAUGCAAGUUUUGUCUCCCUUGCAUUUUGCCCCUAACUUCCUAGCAACAAUUUUCUUAUCCUUUCUACAAAUAGCAAAGGAAGCAUUUAAAGCAUAAUAAAUUGUGGAAGGUUCAUUUGCUAUUUUCCUAGGAGCAUGAAUAACAUUCCUUCUAGGCACAUGAUGAAUAGCAUUUCUUUUAGGAACAACAUUUCUCCUAGUAACAUUUCUAUCAUACACAUAAGAGGAACUAGGAGCAAACAUGGUAUGAGAAUCAUAAACAUAUGAAUCAUAAGCAUCAUGACUUACAUUUCUAGUUUGUCUUCUAUCAUGAUACAAAAAUGCAUGGUUCCUUUUAGCACUAGUAGCCAUAGGGGCCUUCCCUUUCUCCUUGGCGGGAAUGGGGGCCUUAUGGCUUGUUAAGUUCUUAGCUUCUCUCUUGAAGCCAAGUCCAUCCUUAAUUGAGGGGUGUCUACCAAUUGUGUAGGCAUCCCUUGCAAAUUUUAGCUUAUCGAAAUCAUUCUUGCUAGUCUUAAGUUGAGCAUUAAGACUAGCCAGUUCAUCAUUAAGCUUGGAAAUUGAAACUAGGUGUUCACUACAAGCAUUAAUGUCAAAGUCUUUACACCUAGUACAAAUUUCAACAUGUUCUACACAAAAAUUGGAUUUGUUUGCUACUUCUAAUUUAGCAUUUAAAUCAUUGUUGACACCUUUCAAAGUAGAAAUGGUUUCAUGACAAGUAGAUAGUUCAAAAGAAAGCAUUUCAUUUCUCUUAACUUCUAAAGCAUAGGAUUUUUGUGCCUCAACAAAUUUAUCAUGCUCUUCAUACAACAAAUCCUCUUGCUUUUCUAAAAGUAUAUUCUUUUCAUUCAAGGCAUCAAUUAAUUCAUUAAUUUUGUCUAUCUUAGAUCUAUCUAAGCCCUUGAACAAACAUGAAUAAUCUACUUCAUCCUCAUCACUAGAUUCGUCCUCACUUGAAGAAACAUAGGUAGAGUUGCGAGUACAUACCUUCUUCUCCCUUGCCAUAAGGCAUGUGUGACGCUCGUUGGGGAAGAGGGUUGAUUUGUUGAAGGCGGUGGCGGCGAGUCCUUCAUUGUCGGAGUCGGACGAGGAGCAAUCCGAGUCCCACUCCUUGCCUAGAUGCGCCUCGCCCUUUGCCUUCUUGUAAUGCUUCUUCUUUUCCCUCUUGUUUCCCUUUUCCUGGUCACUAUCAUUAUCGGGACAGUUAGCAAUAAAAUGACCAAGCUUACCGCAUUUGAAGCAUGAGCGCUUCCCCUUGGUCUUGGUCUUGCUUGGCUGCCCCUUGCGACCAUUUAGCGCCGUCUUGAAUCUCUUGAUGAUGAGAGCCAUCUCUUCAUCGUUGAGUCCGGCCGCCUCAAUUUGUGCCACCUUGCUAGGUAGCGCCUCCUUGCUUCGUGUUGCCUUGAGAGCGAGAGGUUGCGGCUCGUUGAUCGGACCAUUCAAGGCGUCGUCCACAUAUCUCGCCUCCUUGAUCAUCAUUCGCCCGCUAACAAAUAUCCCAAGAACUUCUUCGGGCGACAUCUUGGUGUACCUGGGAUUUUCACGUAUAUUGUUCACCAAGUGAGGAUCAAGAACGGUAAAUGACCUUAGCAUUAGGCGGACGACGUCGUGGUCCGUCCAUCGCGUGCUCCCGUAGCUUCUUAUCUUGUUGAUAAGAGUCUUGAGCCGAUUGUAUGUUUGCGUUGGCUCCUCGCCCCUUAUCAUUGCGAACCGUCCAAGCUCGCCCUCCACCAACUCCAUCUUGGUGAGUAAGGUGACGUCGUUCCCCUCAUGAGAAAUUUUGAGGGUGUCCCAGAUUUGCUUGGCGUUAUCCAAGCCGCUCACCUUAUGGUAUUCAUUCCUGCACAAGGAAGCUAGAAGAACAGUAGUAGCUUGUGCAUUCUUAUGAAUUUGUUCAUUAAUGAACAUGGGACUAUCCGAACUAUCAAAAUGCAUUCCACUCUCUACAAUCUCCCAUAUACUAGGAUGGAGAGAGAAUAGGUGACUACGCAUUUUGUGGCUCCAAAAUCCGUAGUCCUCUCCAUCAAAGUGUGGGGGCUUGCCGAGUGGAAUGGAGAGCAAAUGAGAAUGUGAACUUUGCGGAAUACGAGAGUAAUCAAAAGAAAAGUUCGAAUUAACCGGUUUUCUUCUCUCGUAGUCGUUGUGGUCCUCGUCCUUGUGGGAAGAAGUAGACUCGUCGCUGUCGUAGUAGAUGAUCUCCUUGAUGCGCCUGGUCUUCUUCUUCUUCCCUUCCUUCCGUCUUUGGCCCGAGCCGGAGUCGGUAGGCUUAUCGUCCUUCGGCUCGUUGACGAAGGAUUCCUUCUCUUUGUCGUUGAUCACUAUACCCUUCCCCUUAGGAUCCAUCUCUUCGGGCGGUUAGUCCCUUUGUGAAGAGAACGGCUCUGAUACCAAUUGAGAGCACCUAGAGGGGGGGGGGGUGAAUAGGUGAUCCUGUAAAAACUUCAAACUUAAGCCACAAAAACUUGUUAAGUGUUAGCACGAUUAUUGCCAAGUGGCUAAGGUGAAGUCUCAACAGUCUCAACAAAACACAGUACCACAAGAGAAUCAAGCACAGAGUGACACAGUGGUUUUAUCCCGUGGUUCGGCCAAGACCAACGCUUGCCUACUCCACGUUGUGGCGUCCCAACGGACGAGGGUUGCAAUCAACCCCUCUCAAGCGGUCCAAAGACCCACUUGAAUACCACGGUGUUUUGUUUUCCUUUCACUAUCCCGUUUGCAAGGAAUCUCCACAAAUUGGAGUCUCUUGCCCUUACAAGUAUAUGAUCACAAAUGAAACACAGAGUAAGGGAGGGAAGCAACACACACAAAUCCACAGCAAAAGCGCACACACACGGCCAAGAAUCGAGCUCACAAGACUAUCUCAGAGUUCUCACUUAGAACAGAGCUCGAAUCACUUAGAAACACAAACGAAUGCGCAGAGACUUAGUGUGGAUGAUCAAGAAUGCUCAAAGGUUGCUUGUGUAUCUCCUCCAUGCGCCUAGGGGCUCCUUUUAUAGCCCCAAGGCAGCUAGGAGCCGUUGAGAGCAAAUCCGGAAGGCCAUCCUUGCCUUCUGUCGUCGGGGGCACCGGACAGUCCGGUGCACACCGGACACUGUCCGGUGCCCGAUUUGUUUCCUUAAACGGCGAAGACGACCGUUGCAGACCGUUGGCAGAUCUGGCGCUGUUGGCGCACCGGACAUGUCCGGUGCACACCGGACAGUCCGGUGCCGUCUUCCGACCGUUGGCUCGGCCACGUGUCCCGCGCGGAUUGCGCGGCCGACCGUUGGCCCUGGCCGACCGUUGGCUCACCGGACAGUCCGGUGCACACCGGACAGUCCGGUGAAUUUUAGCCGUACGCCGCCGGCCAAUUUCCCGAGAGCGGCCAGUUCGAGUCGCGCCAGCCUGGCGCACCGGACACUGUCCGGUGCACACCGGACAGUCCGGUGCUCCAGACCGAGCUGGGUCUUGGCAGCACACAGCCAAGUCCCUUCUCCUUUUCUCUAUUCUUCUUCUUUCUGUUUCUAACACUUAGACAAAUAUAUUAGUACUUAAAACCAAUGUACUAAGGCUUAGAAACAUACCUUUACUUCAUGAUUUUCACCUUGUUCAUCCAUGUACAUAAAUUCCCAAUUAAGCACAUGUGUUGGCACUCAAUCACCAAAAUACAUAGAAAUGGCCCAAGGGCACAUUUCCCUUUCAAGAGCUAGCGCCCUAAGUACAUGCCGUUGUGGCAGCUGGAGAGAUUUUGGCACCCAGCUGGUGUGAUGUCGUGGCCGUCGGAGGAGCGAUGGAGCCUGGCGGAGGGACAGCUGUCGGAGCAGUUGAGUCCUUGCUGACGUCCUCUUGCUUCCGUAAGGGGGCUGAGUGCCGCCGUCGUCACAGAGUACGUGGGGCGCCAUCAUUGCCUAUCUGGCGGAGCGAGCCAGAUGGGACACCGGUCUUGUUUCCUGCGGCCCGAGUUAGCUCGGGGUAGGGCGAUGAUGGCGCCUCCUGUUGAUGUGGCUGGUCUGCGCCCUAGGUUGGGCGAUGUGGAAGCUCCUCCGAAGCCGAGGUCGAGUCUGUCUUCCGUGGCCGAGGUCGAGUCCGAGCCCCUGGGUCGGGCGAGGCGGAGGCCGUCGGCUGAGGCCAGGGCGGAGUCCGAGCCCUGGGGUCGGGCGAAGCGGAGUUCGUCAUCUUCUGGGGCUGAGCCCGAGUCCGAGCUCUGGGUCGGGCGGAGCGGAGUUCGUCGUCUUCUGGGGCUGAGCCCGAGUCCGAGCCCUGGGUCGGGCGGAGCAGAGUUCGCCGUCUUCCGGGACUUAGCCCGAGUCCGAGCCCUGGGUCGGGCGGAGCGGAGUUCGCCGUCUUCCGGGACUUAGCCCGAGUCCGAGCCCUUGGUCGGGCGGAUCAUCUUUUUUCUCUGCUAUGAAACUGUCAAAAUUCAAAUAAUUGUAGACCUUAUCAUAUUUUCUAAUUGCAGGCAAGAUUUUUCCAUGUUGUUGUUGUUUUAUGUUUUGUCUUGUGUUUUCUGUUUUGUCAUUUUUUUUGGGUUAUAAGAUGUUUCUUUGUAGUUUUUUGUUUUCUAUUAUGCGGCUACCAUGUUAUUGUGAUGUAAUUUAUUGUUAGAUUUUUCCAUGUUUUUUGUUUUCUUUUGCUCUUGAUGUUUUGGUGUUGCUUACUUUCAUGUUUUUUGUAUUUUUUUAUGUAUUAUGUUGUAAUGUAAAGUAUUGUAUGGUACUAUGCUUUUUUCCAUGUAUGAUUUUGUUUUAGUUUAUUUUUCUAGGUUCUUAAGGAAUCAAGUGACGAGGAAAGGGAGAAAGCUGAAGAGAUGAUGAAGUACUAGGCAUCACUUCCCCUGCUCCUUUGAUUUUGGUUCGCAUCAUUUGUAAUGUCUAUCGUGAUUUUUGACUUUAUGAAGUUGUUUUAGUUUUUUUCAAUGUUAUAUAUUUUUUUAUUUUUGUCUUUGCUAGGUGGAGAAAAGCCUAGGGAUCAUGAAGCUGAAAAAGUUGAAGUACCAAGUAUCCACUUCCCUUGCAAUGUACGUUAUUUUCAUGUGAUGUAUGAUCUGUUUUGUGAGUUUUUGCUUCAUCAUUUUUUUCUAGAUUUGUGUCUAAGUAGCAAAUUUUUCAAAAGUGUUUGGCCUCAUGCAGGCAACUACUGUUAUCUGAGCACAUAACAGUGUUUUUUGUGUUAGAGGUCAUUUAUGUUGUUCUACAUCUAUUUUUCACAAGACAACAUGUUAAAUAUUAACACAACAACUUGUAUUGUUUUUUUGUAUAUUAGUUUUUUUUCUCUAUUUUUAGAGAAAAAAACUACGUGUUUAUUAUGACCAUUAGAUCUUGAUCUAGUGGAUAUGAGAUGUGUGUGUUUUGUGUUUGCAAAACACACAGAUUUUCCUUUAAAAGAAAUCUGCGUGUUUUUUCAGCUAAAAACACACGUGUGUUUUUUGGGCAAAAAUUGCCCAUGUGCUAUAUAGACAGCCCCUUCUUAAAUUAUUUAAGGUGCUUCCUUUGUAAAAAAAAACCCGAAGAAACCUUAGCAGCAUUCGGUCGUAUAGCUGCCAUUUCACUGUUUCACAAAACAACAUUCAUAAUUUACAUAUAUAAUUAUAUAUAGCUCAUACAAGGUGGUCUUCUACUACAACUAUUACAUUACUUGCUACAGCACAUGACAACCAUUGACCUCUGAACCUGCACAGCUAGGGGAAAAUUACAACACUCGAGAUGAAAAUGGAAACACUAGUCCCGAACUAUACAAUGGCAGACAGGAACCCACAGUCGCCUCCAUUUGUGGAAGGCUGCUUCAGUUCCAAUCCGCCUCUCAUAAGUAGCAGCAGAGAACCAGAAUGGUCUUCCUGCAAAACAUCAGUACUGCACUGCUGUACUGUACUAGUCAUAUGUGUUCGAGUAGCAGCAAAAAUUAUCCACAGAGUAGAGGUGGGUGGCAAGGGCCCAGAAUUCUACAGGCACAGCCUUGUCAGCUCUCUAUCUGCCUCCUCGCCAGGUGCCACCGGCUGCAGCACCUUGCUCCGAGCUGUGCACUUCUUGUACGGUACAAAACCUCGACGGCAGGCUGGAAUUGCGCCCGCGCAUUUCCUUGAACCUGGAACGGGUACAGCCACUUUGUCUUCACCUCUGUUUACUUUCGUAGAUUCUGCAGGAUCUGAAUUCUGAGCUGUUCCAGGCACGCUGCUGGAGGUUUCGAUCGACUCCGUCCAUGGCCGGCUCCGCUGCUUGUUUGAGGUAACUGUCUGUGCGUCCAACGCUGUGUAGGAUAUGCUUCCGUUACCGUAGUUUAGGAACUGGCAACCAGGAUGCAUAGAGAACACCUCUCCCCGAGGGAGAUAGUACAGAAACUGCUGUGUACUACCGACCAGCCACGGGCACCAUGUCUCCGCUUCUUCUGCGGCAUGGGAAGACAGCUUCCCAGUUCCACUGGUUGGUGUCUCGGCUGAAGCAUCAUCCAGUUCCAUGUCCGCCGCGUGUUGUAGGCUCCCAGUAUUGGAGCUUGGCUGCUGGUCUAAAUUACUAACCACAACCCUCUUGCCAAAUAGCCUAAGAACCGGACCUUCGGCUUCGGGUAUCUCACAGGCCGCGUCGUUGGAAUCCUGCAGCAUGUUUAAGGCGUCUGUUAGAACUCAGAGUUUAGGUGUUACAAACUGUGGCAUUAGAUGCUGUUUUAUCAAAGGAAAUGAAUUUUUUUCAGUUCCAUGCCACCUAGAAUUAUUUAGAAUUGAAGAACAUAUGCUUUUCAGGUAAGAAUGAAUGUUCAGUACCGUGGAGAGUGCCACUUGCACACUUGACUCCCCGACUGACGUGUUUGGUGUGAGGCAUUUGUCCUCCAUGUGAACGGAGGAAGCCGGUGAUCCACUGCCUUCAGCUGGCAGGGCCUCAGAGCACAUCUGUGCUGUGGUCAACACAGAUUUUGGGGAGCAGUUCUCCUGCUCAGACAGGGACUGCGCCUGCAACUGGGGCUUCCGAAGCUGCUUGAUUGCAGCAGAGGCAUCCUUGCCUACUGAAUUACCCAGCUUGCGCGGGUACGGGUGCGUCGGCCUCCUCUUCGGCCUCGGCGGCGGAAUCUGAAGUUGCGGUGGAGCACCUACGCUGUUGUUGCUGUUGUCCCCAGAGGAUUCUCGGAUGACCUGCAGCAUGCAAAGCAAAAAGGCAAUCAGAAGCACGUCUUCGGUGGCACGGCAUGGAGAGCACCUGCUGUCCAUGGUUGAGCUGACUUACAUCACCUUGCAAGCAACACAAUCCAUGGAAUUUCAGGCAGAAGGGGGUUUUGAUGUGUUUUUUUUUUUCGUUCUGUGCGAAAGGCAGGCAACGAGACCUUGGAGAAGAACUUCUGGGCGUGGCUCCUGAUCUGCACGGCAGUCUUGCUGCCUAUGUGCUCUGCAGAUCGUACCGGUUGUCAGCUAGGUUCCGUGCAGUUCUGGUUACAAAGCUUGUAUUGUAUAUGACCAUAAACGACAGAGGCACUCACCUUGUAUACGGCGCCAGGCACGGCCGUGCUGCUGCAGGGCCUCCAAGAAGAGCUUGUGCUCGUCCUCGGUCCAUUUCUCCCUCUGCUUGGAUAUCGUGUAUGGCUUGCGUGCCUGAACGGCAUGUGCCAAAAGUGCGACCUUGGUUAGAGGAAACAUCUCCAGCUUCACUAUAUUUGCGAUUCGGCAACUAAGAUGCUCUGCGGAUCGCAAGAUAGUUAGUUGGUGCAGCAGAGCCGCGCUGUACCUUAGGGGCCCGUGCUCCUCCUGGCAAGUCCAUGUCGCCGGAGCUCAGGGUGUUCUUCAGAUGAUCCAUGAAGUCUCUGUGGCCGACGUGAUCUGCAGCCGGCCUUUGAUUGCUCCUCGCCUUCAGAAACCGGGAGGAAUUCAGGAUUUUCUCAGAGGAAGAGGAAGAGGAAAAAAACAGCGGCCUUGGGAACAAGAGCAAAUAUAUAUGCCUGGGAAGAAACACAGUUCCAAAAGGAUCCAUCUCCCGGAACUCACCAAAACGAUCGGGAAGAAUGAGGAGAAAUGAAUAAAGUAAUUAGACGAGUUAGUUACCUGGAAACGAGCCAUCUCAGGAUUUCUGAACCAGCAGAACCACAGCCACCGAGUCUGAUAGCGGCUCUUCACCACGAGCACGAAUCAAGCAGCAGCAGCAGCAGGAGGAGGCGAGAGCGUGCGCCACCGAGACGAAGCCACCAGCUCCUGAACACCCUUGCGAGUGCUGCCGGUUUCGCAGGGGAGAAGAGAAGAGAGGAGAGGAGAGGAGGGAGGCAAGGGGCGAAAUGGAAGGAAAGGCUGUAUGUAUGGUGCAGCGGUUGGGAGAGGGAGGGCGGAGAAGAAAAGGGGCGGCGAGGGCAGGGCGCCACGUCGGACGGGAUUUUUCCGCUGGAGGAGCUUUUCCGUGCGCGCUUUUCCGUCCGCCCUCACGCCGCCACCGGGACCGGAUGAAAUAAUCUAUCCGUCUUUACCGGCAACGGCGGGGGCCCGGAGCGGAGGACGACUGGGCGCCGCUCGAUUCUUGUGGCCGUCGCUCCUCCGCGGGUCGGGUUCCCUCGCCUCGCCUCGCCUCCAGCUGCUCACCUCAAUUAUGCUGGGGGCUGCCGCUCCUGUCUGGGCGCGAGUAAAACCAUGGGCUGUCGUGGGGUCGCACGACAGGGUGGGGGGUGUUCCUAUCUGUCCGGCCCGGCGAGCCGGCUUGCCUUCCCGUCGUCGUCGUCGCCUUUGGUGUGCCGGCCCUGCGGUUGCUCGUGGAUAUGGUGCCGUCGUGUCGAGACUAGAGACGCGGCUAGCAUGUUAGAUCGACGAUAAAGCUCGGCAAAAGCAAGGGCCAAACUGCCCCAGUUUUUUGAGGAAUUAUUUGUUCGUAUAGAUUAUAUAAUAUACAUACACGCUUUAAAUGUCUAAUUUGGCAAAAGAAUAUCUGGCAGAGCAGUAGCCUGGUACAGUCAUAGGCCGAUAGGCGGGAGAAGCUUAUCACGGAGCUUCACUUUGCGUUGUUGAGGCUAUCUGCACUCACGAACUGGAAGCGCGGAUGCAGUCGCCGUUUGGAGUAAAAUGCCCUGCAGCGAGGGACUGCAUCCCUCUCCCUGCGAUAGGGGAGGCUCUCUCUCACCUCAAGCAUGCAGUCGCCGUUUGCCCGUUUGCAGUAAAACGUCUCUCUCUAUUGCUUCUCUCCUCCACAUGCACAACGGUCUGCGCGCCACAGAGCCACAUGCAUGUGGGUGGGAAUAAAAAAGUGUGGAAAAAAAUGAUAGAAUAUGUGGUAGUUGGUAUAGGGUAGAUAUUUAGGGUUAAAUAUGAACACGGAGUAUUAUAGGAUAGAGUAGAUAUUUUUUUUAGAGUAGAAAUUUAGGGUUCCAUGAGUGCGGAUAGUCUGAAAUAUCUCUGAAAAAAUAUCUGAGUUAGAUUUUUCCUGCGCAGUCUGAUCCAAACUGGGUCGCCCAGAACGCGCCGUGCCGUCCGCCGUCUCGCCUUCUCGCCUAGGCAGGCAUAGUAGAAAAAGCGCAGUCGGGCGGGCCCCGCUGGGAGGACUGGCGCUGUCGCCUGGCCCACCGUCGCUUCGCUUUUUGACACGUCGAAGCCACCACGACGAUGCCGAGGCCCAAGCACAACACACCCGUCCUGCCGCCUCACCGCCGGACACGUGCCUCCCUGUACUAGAGAUAAGCCGGAAAGCAAAGCACGCUCUUCGCUGUAGAGAGCGAGAGCAACAGGUCUUUGAUCCCUGUCCACGAGCUCCGGCGUUACAGUUGCAGCACUACAAGUCACCGGGAGAUCCUCGUCCACAUGUUUUGCAGGCACGCCUUCGUGCCUUUUUUUCUUCUCUCCACUUGUGAGAGUUUGGGGCUUUGGUUUUUCCAAAACAAAAAGGAAAAGGGGUUUCGGGGGGCUUUUGGGGAUGCGGCUCGUGACUUUGGUGAGGGACCACCUGUCAGAGGGGGUGGUCCGGUAUCUGGCGCUCUCGGUUCGUUGCGGGGCCCUAGACGCUGCCAGCGGAGUAUGGCCACGCCGUGGCCCCGUCCACAUGUUUUGACGUCGUGGCUUGUCGUUGGCGGCAUCACGUGCCCGCGGCAGCAACGCGCGCUGGUAACAAGUUUUGAGUGAGAAUGUGAGAUCUGGCCGGAGUUUUGGAGAGUGACAGUACAGCGGCUUGAAUUUAUUCUACCAGCAGUACGUGUCCAGAAACCAGAGAACAGGCAUGGAUACCCACACUUCGUACGGUCAGUUCACAGGCCGAUUCAGAAACAAGGGAUGCUGAAAACGGGUGCUCGCUUUAACCCUUGAGCUCAUGAACCAGUUUAGCAGCCGCAAACGAUGCCACGGAAGAGUGUAAAAGCGGAUACGUCAUGUGCUCAUGCGUGCGGUUCCGGUUCGACUGCUUCUGAGUGACGUGUCCUUCUCCUCUUGCACGGUACGUAAUUGCAGUUGACGACCGGACAGUUGUGGAGCGCGCGUCACUUCAUCUCCGACUCCAAUAAAUCAGGUGAAACCCGCUGUCCGCCUUUAGACGGAGACUGUCUGAGGUUGUAUAUGCCUGCACGGUUGGAUGAAGCUGCUCUGGCGGUUAUAUAUCCUGUGCUUUCUUAGCCAUUUUAGUACAGACCAGCCAGCCGUCAAUGUGGAAGACCCACGCGGAAACGCAAAGCAAUGUGUAAAUGCAUCUGCACAGUCCACUCAUCUGGAAGCUUGUGGCUUCGGAGCAAACUUAAGCAAAAAAAAAAACCGAUCACACCUUGAUUUCCACUUUACGCUGGGUAGAUCAGUCAUGGAGCUAUACCGAUGAGACGCUGUUCCUUUAUUAGGGCCUGCACAAAACAAAAAACUAGUGGCUGAGAAGAGAAUACUACGCUAGUGCUUUUAGCUCGCUGCUGGUGGCUGCUGGUAAAAGCUCGGAUUAGCUAGCGAUCGUCCAAGCGUCAGCACAUGCGUGCGUUAGAUUAGGUCUGUGUUUUUGUCUGUGUUCUUGGCGAUUAAUGGGUCUUGCUGCACAUGCUGACUGACCGGCAACAAAAGAGUGCAUCGUCUGGCCAAACGUUUGAAGUCGGUAGUCAACACAACACAAUGCGUUGCCUUUGCCUUUAUCUGAGGGCUGAGGCAACAGUAGCAUAGCAUAAAAGCCAAAGGGUGAGGUUGGUUGGCUCCGAAUAAACUGAUUAACUAAAGUGUAUCCAGUUUAUCCAGAAAUUUAACUAGGGCCGUGGAAGAUAAACUGAUCUGUUCCAUGAGAAAAUCAGUUUAUCUUCCACAGCCCUUAUUUCUAAAAAAACCACUAAAAAUAAAUUGAUCGACUAAAGUGUUCUGGGCCGUUAAAUUUACUUACCCGUUUAUAGAAAUACUUGGAGCUAGUUUGGGAGCCACAAAAUAUUCCAUUAUUAUUCAAUUUUCAAUUUUAAAUAAUAAGGAGAUUCUAUCACCUUUAAUCCCUCUGGUUUUAUGACUCCAAACUAGCCCUUAAUGUUCUAUUGUAUUUUCUACCAUCUUUAUUUCUGGAUGAUCGUUUUUACUAACCGGCCUAAAGUGUUUGGCAGAGUAACAUGAUACUAUUUCCCGUGUCAAAUGCAUCGUUCGUUUUGUCCCAGUGACCGGCUCGCCAAAUUCUACUCCUCUAGCCGGGCUGGCCUAAUUCUGUCAGCCAACAAUCUUGUUGUCUUCUACAUUCUUAUAGCCCAGCCCAGCCCAAGUUACAACACUGCAGCACCUCGUUCCAACGUUUCCCCGCGCUCUAUGCCACGUCAUCGAUCCGUGCCACCACCUCCCACCGCAUCCCUUCCCUCUGAUCCCAAUCCAACGCCCCAGCUCCACCCUCCCACGGAUCCACACGAAACCACCUCCCGCUCGGCACUUCUCCAAACUUCCCCAUUCCCUCCCAAACCCCAUUGAUAAAUACCCCUCCCCACCCCAAAUCCGAACUCAGUCGCCCACAAAAACCCAGUAACUCGCAUCUUCCUCCGUGAUCCAAGUUCUAGCAGCGCAGCGCUCGGUUUCGGCAAUGUCGGGGCGCGGCAAGGGCGGCAAGGGUCUGGGCAAGGGCGGCGCCAAGCGCCACCGCAAGGUCCUGCGCGACAACAUCCAGGGCAUCACCAAGCCGGCGAUCCGGAGGCUGGCUAGGAGGGGCGGCGUCAAGCGCAUCUCCGGGCUCAUCUACGAGGAGACCCGCGGUGUGCUCAAGAUCUUUCUGGAGAACGUCAUCCGUGACGCCGUCACCUACACCGAGCACGCCCGCCGCAAGACCGUCACCGCCAUGGAUGUCGUCUACGCGCUCAAGCGACAGGGCCGCACCCUCUACGGCUUCG
Molecule: long non-coding RNA, 66920 nt
Filed under: Zea mays
Lineage: Eukaryota; Viridiplantae; Streptophyta; Magnoliopsida; Poales; Poaceae
Description: long non-coding RNA (ZMAY_LNC000710)
Source: RNAcentral